GCCUAUCAGAAGGUUGGCAGUUCGAAUGCCCGCAACAGCGUGAGCUCCCAUUGCUCUGUCCCAGCUCCUGCCAACCUAGCAGUUUGAAAGCAUGCCGGUGCAAGUAGAUAAAUAGGUACCGCUGUGGCAGGAAGGUAAAUAGCAUUUCCAUGUGCUCUGGUUUCUGUCACGGUGUUCUGUUGUGCCAGAAGCAGUUUAGUCAUGCUGGCCACAUGACCCAGAAAGCUGUCUGUGGACAAACGGCGGCUCCCUCAGCCUGAAAGCGAGAUGUGCUCUGCAACCCCAUAGUCGCCUUUGACUGGAUUUAACCGUCUAGGGGUCCUUUACCUUUUACCUUUUGUAAUUUACUGUAGUAUAGUUUUGUGUUUCAUGGCCAUUUAACACCAACGUUUACAAUUCUCUUCCUAACGCCAUGUGUAUAUAAUAAGAGUGUGCAGCCACCAAAAUGUUAAACUUGUAACGGUAGUGUUUGGAAGCAGGCUGUUUUGGAACCUCUCUGUCUCAUGAUUUCGUACAAAUAUGGGUACAGAUCUAUUAAAUCCAAAGUUCUGCUUUGCCCCCAUUAACUGUGAUGGGAAAUAAUAAUCUAAAAAAGCUAUAGCUUUUCUCUUUUUCACAUAAAUGGGUGAAAUUUGCAGGUAACUGAACUUAUCUGGAGUGGGUUAACCUGCUAAAUGUCCAACAGAUGCACCUGGCGGGGGAAGUUGUGCAGAAAACAUUUAAAGUUUUAAACCAGUCAUUUGGGGCUGAGUUGGGCCUGGUUGGCUUUGUGAAGUCGUAUUUUUCACUUUUCAAUACUUCACCUUGGGGGGAAAUUGGGGUAAUUGUCUUGAGACUUAUUUCACUGGAUUUGUCACAAUGUAAGUGAACAGCAAAGGGACGCAGGUGGCACUGUGGUCUAAAGCACUGAGCCUAAGACUUGCUGAUCAGAAGGUCGGUGGUUCGAAUCCCUGCCAUGGGGUGAGCUGCCGUUGCUUGGUCCCUGCUCCUGCCAACCUAGCAGUUCAAAAGCACGUCAAAGUGCAAGUAGAUAAAUAGGUACCACUCUGGCGGGAAGGUAAACGGCGUUUCUGUGCGCUGCUCUGGUUCGCCAGAAGCGGCUUAGUCAUGCUGGCCACAUGACCUGGAAGCUAUACGCCGGCUUCCUCGGCCAAUAAAGCAAGAUGAGCACCACAACCCCAGAGUCGGUCAUGACUGGACCUAAUGGUCAGGGGUCCCUUUACCCUUUACCGUUACUAAGUGGACAGCAUGGGAAAGGCGACGGGUAAGAAGAGUCACUGAGGAAUGCCCAGAGGCACUUUUAUGGUGAUUGUGUAUUCCUGAGAUCUUUUCCCCCCUCAGGGCUAUGGGACACAGAACUCCUUUGUGGCUUGCCUGAAGCAAAGGCCACACACAACACCAAAGGUAUGGUGAGCUGGUGUGGCCUGGCCUAGUUUUGUUCAAACAAGAGGAGGAGACAUCAAUUAGGCCCCUGCCUCAACCAGCUCCUGUUCCACGGAAGAUGGCAAGUGUUUAGGUUAAUGAAGUUGAGAACCUUUGUUAUCCAACAUUUGCAUCUCGCCUCUUUCUUCCAAAUAUGUGUGCAACCAUGUCCCUAUAAAAUGCUUUAAAAAAGAAGAAGAGAUACAUUAGAUGACUUUAAGCAAAAAGCCCACGAAUAUUGAACAUUCGAUGCUGAACCCCAAACCACUAGCUCUGCACCUCAGUCACCUUAUUAACCAGCGAAGGGGCAGGUAGCUAGCCAACCUCCAUAUCUUGCCCUAUUCAGAAGAUACACACACAAAGAUCAGGGCAAAGAACCCUUGAACAUCACCUAUGAUUCAAUUUGAAAUUCUACCUUAUGUUUUAAAUGACCCAAUAGCUAUAGUUGUACAGCUUCUGUACAGGAUGUGAUCUCUGAUUUACAAGGCAUAAAAUCUUUAUCGUGUUCUAAAAUGGGCUAAUAAUAAUAAUAAUAAUUGGAAGCCAGAGGCCAAUUCAGAACCCAUAUGAUUUUCUUCUUCUUCUUCUUUUCUCUUGUCUUGACCUAAAAUUCUUGCGAGGUCUCUAAAAUUGCUAGUAUCUCAGGUUCUCAGAUGGUAUUUCUUGUAAUUCCAUCUAUUCAUGCUCUAUUGCAUGUUUGAGUGGUGGGGAGGGGGUCACCUUAUUAGCAAUUUUUAUUGUAAUCAUUUGCAGAAUAAAUUACUUCCUGACAAUGUGAGUCUAUUCCAUUGUUAAAGGCCUUAAAAAACACUUUUUUUGAGCUUGCACAAAUUUCUUCCUGGCAAAUGGGUCGGGCUGCACUUUAUAUCACUGCUGUAAGUCAAGCCAAUGGCCUUUGAUUUCCCUCUGCUUUUCAACAGGCUGGAAGAAUAUAAUGCUUACCACAGCGUUGAGGCGCACAAAUGAUGUCUAAGCUUUUUGUGUGCAGCAUCACAAAAGCUGGUGGACUACAGGUCCUAAAUGGAUGCAUGCCCUUUUGUGAUUAACCUCGAGGAGUGGAGCUGUCUUUUAACAAAAUGAAGGGGGUGUAAUCACAUAACAGCUUGUUGCUCUCACAAAAAAUAAAUUCAUUUCAUCUACCUUCCCUCCCGCAGGUCUUACUCAUUCUCUUGUGCUACAUCUGGCUAUACAUGAAACACUCUGGCCUAGCAUGUGAAGUUUCUUUUGUAUUGUAUUCCUACCCCCCCCCAAAAGACUUGAGUGAUUGUCUUAAGAAAAACAUGGAUACUGACUUUGUUCUUUUUAUCUAUAUUGUAUCUAUAUUAUUGCUGUCUGUUAUCCUAUCCACUAAUGAAUGGCGUUAGUGGAGAUUCUAUGAUGAUAUUGUGACAUGCCAUUAUAGUCAAUGAUCCAUUCACUCCCUUUUAACUCUUUCCCUUUGCCACCCUAACCAAAUGCUGUCGCCACAGUCCGUCAGGUGUAUUAUUUGAGAUCAGCUGCUUGAUUUCAUCCUUGGUAAUCUUAUCCAUGAAAUUGGGCUCUAGACUAUGUACAAUUUCAUCACUUGGGGCGGAUCUACAUUCAUGGUUUUUAACGUUAAGGAAGGGUUAAGGAAUGGUUUUUGUUAUGUACUGAAGUUCUCACCCUGGGCCAGCAGGGGGAUACUGUAGAUAGUUUUCACUCAGGUCCACAUAUGCAAAUAAGGGAUUGAAAGUGACGUUCAGUGAUUGGAUAGUUACAGAAAAUGGUUACUGUUACGUUCUAGUGGACCUCUAUAUAAGCAGGCUGGCUGAACCCUUCAGUUCAGUUCUGUUCUGGCCUGUGAAUAAACAAGAGCUGUUUGAAGAAUCGCUGUGUCGUCUGAUAUGUUCACCCACAACUUAACAGUUUUGAUAAUGUAGAUGGACACAUGAUGCCCUACUUUUUACAUUCAUAAUGCGGUAUUACCUUGUCUUUCUUUUCAUUUAAUUUUUAAUUGUUUUAUGCUACUAUAUCAGUGAUGGACUGUUCCUAUAUUCCUAUGUAGUGUUUUACCUUUUUUUUUACUGUGUGCACACUCUGACCCCCCCUCCAGCAGUAUUUCAGGGGGCAGAUAGCAAAGAAUAUGGGGGGGGGGGAGAGAAAUAACAUGUGAUGCAAGAGGCAGAGCAGAGCAACCAGCGACCACCAGCAGGGAAAGAAACAGCAUCUUGGAAAAUGGUGCGGUUGGAUAUUACCUACAUUUGAUGGGAAAACCCAAGGUAAAAAAACAUUUCAAUUAACAAGUGUGCCCUGUGAGAUUUUAGAGCAACAUAACUAAUAUCCAUCUAAUAGGGGGAAAUAAUGUUAAACAGGUCAGUGUAGAUCCAGCCUGGUUGUAUCGCUUCGGCAUUCACCAUGUAGUAGGAGCUUCAGCUUGUCAACAAUCAAGCAGAAUCAAAACUAAUUACUGAGUGACUGGUAACUAUUAGUAAUUACUAGAGACUUAUUGAGAACUCACACAGCAAUGAGACGGGGUCUAUCUUGGACAUAUCUUGUAAGGAGAGUGGGAAACCGGUUUUGGAAAAUUGUAUUAAAUUGAAUCAAUUCGGUAACGAUCUGUAAUAAUUUGGAAAAGCAACGAAAAUAAUUGGCGAAACUGAUCGCACAUUCGACAACUUCAGAUGCUGCGGUCUUGUGUACGUGGUAAGUGCCCCACACCCCCAAGAUAAGUGUGCAGAGUUAAUGCACAACUGGAAAGUAUAUUGAACCGAAUCCCUCUUGGCAUAUGUUGCUAUCACUCAAAAUCAUUAAGCAAGAGCAAUCCUGAAGAAACACUUGACUGGAGGCAACGUAAAAUAGAAACUUUACCCCUGCACUGUUAAGAUUUAUUCUAAGUGCCUCAUGCUAAAAUGGCACUGUUUACAGUGUAUCUGCUGCUAUGAUUCACAGACCUAUUAAUAUGCAUUGCUGGGGAUUAAUGAAAGCUAUAUUCAGUUUAAUAAUUUUAAAGUGUUUUAUUGUCGAUCACCCUCAGUUAAGCAGUUUUUAUUUCCACCAUAAGAGAAACAUAUUCCCUGCAUUUUUAAAAAGUUCACAAGAGUUUGAGUUGUAUCUGACAUUACCAAUGUGCUAGAUUUAAGUGAAGUAGCAUUUGAAAAAAACAAAACAAAAAAACCCAACCCACAACAAUGUGAGCAGGCAAACAAAAUGCUAAGGAGAAGAAAUUAAGAUGGCAAAGGAGGAGUGAUCAUAAAACUCCAAUAAAACUCAAUGAUGUACUUUCCUCUUGUGGACUCUGUGAUGACCAUCUCGUUCCGUAAAGUUUAAGGUAGAGUUUUAAAAGGGCAAUGCAAUUAAGCCUUCCAAGUAAUGGAAAGCAAAGGGAAAAACAAGAAGAAGUCAACUGACAAACAGGAGCUGUAAAACACAUGCACACACACACACAUAUCCAUAAAGCAAACCCUUAAAUACCAAAACUUUGCUAUCUAUAGUUCUUUAUGUAUAAUGAAAUGGGGGGGAGGGGCCGUGCAUAGGCCCCCCCCAUCUGACCUAUGUCUGAAUUCCUGUAGGAAUAACUCUUCCUACGUUUCAAAAAAGUAAGGUUGCAAGGAACAACUUCCUCUGUUUGGAAAUGGGUGAAUGCUGAAAUUGGCUAAGAAUGUGACUGCAAUCUUGAGGGCAGCAUACCAAUGACCAUGGGGUACUUAAAAUUAAAAUUCAAAACUGAUUAAGCCAUCAAUUCAUUGCUCUCAGGUUACUGUUUCUUGUGGUUCUUUCCAGUCCUUGUAAGAUUUUCAUUCAUAAAUCCAUUCUGUCCUGUUUCCAUGUUAAUCUGUGAUCUUUAAAAACCAAAACAAAACACACACACACAUGAACAUUUAUAUGAAAUACUAUUCUAAACAAAGUAUACACAUUCAAAUGUGUAUUUUAUUUCUAUGCAUGCGUUUCUCAAUGCAUCAUGCCAAAAAUACCCAUUUUAAUACAUUCUGGUACAAUUUUUUGAGCUGGGAACCAUGCCAUAAAAUUCAGAGAAGUGUGAAAUUAGUAAAAUGAACAUAACUGAGAAUUGAGCAGAGGGAAGGGACUUCAAAGGUUAUCAAUGGUAUUGACUCUCUUUUUAGUUUCCUCAGUAAAGUGACACAUGGUCAAAAGUAUUUCAAGCAAUGCUGUCCCUCAUUAACCUGACUGAAGAAGCAGAAAAUGAAAUUCAAACCUGCAAGGUCAGGCCAUGAAGAGUUAAUUAUUUGUUCCACUUACUUUAUCGAUAAUCAAAGGCAAUAUUAUUAGUUAAGGAUAUUGUUCACUUAUUAAUUGGAGUGUGUUUCAGAGAAUUAUAUUUGUUUUUAUUCUCUAUAUAUUACUCUUUGGUAGCUGCCUUGAGCCUCUUUGGGUGAGGCAGAAUUAUUUUACAAUAAAAGUAAAGGAUAACUAUGUCCUGCACAGUAGCCCAGGAAAGACUCUCCUCUUGCAAGAGAGGGGAGUGGUUGUGGUCGGGAGCCGGAUUCCGCCUCAAGCAGGGGGCGUUAGCCCCCUGCCUCCCACUCACCUGGCUGGGGCCCACGCCCACGGGCAGGCACCCAACCAGGUGCCUGUGAGGGGGCGUGUUUAGCAGCCUAAAUUGCUGCAGCACCAGCUUUCCGGCCUCACUUUUCGUCGUCCCGUCGCGAGUCACCCACCCUCCACUCCCUUAGAGCUCAGGGUCUCAGUUUUUGUUUGGCCUUGCUAUGGACCUUAGGUUGGUCGCCCUGGUUGUCCGGGGGGCCUGGUAGGAAUUUUUCCAUUUGGCAUUAGGCUUUGUGGUUUUUUCGCCUACCUCGUAGCAAUCGUCACAACUUUCGUGGUAUUGGUGGGUAGGUUAGGCACUGGAAUAAUGUGUUGUGGUGUGUCGAAGGGCUAGGUGUGGCCAUCCCCUGCGCCUUCAAUUUUGGGUAUUCCGUUAAAGGAAUCCGGCGGUCGUGUAUUCUGUCUGAUGCCUGCGUGGCGGGGGGCCAUGGCACGACCCUCGGUGGCAUCAGGGGAGAGCUUAUAGUUGGAUUAUCAUCAACAGGCUCCACCUACUGGUGAAUAAACCCCCCUGUUUUAGACUCACCCCUCUCCGAGUGGGUGGAGUCAGCUGACGUAAUCCAAUGCCUAAGCCAAUACCUUUUCACUUGCUGUAAUCAAUAAAGUUGUGGCCUUUUCUUGCCCAUUAACCUUAUAUCAUGUGUCCUUGUGUUUUCAUUCCACUACGCGGGGAUCAGGUCCUCGAACCACAAGUAUGAAUUAUGUCUGUCCUCAGGAAUCUGAUUUCUCAGGCAUCCCUUGUUUCUUGUUAUAAGGAAAAGCGGUUAAACAACAACACCCAUAUACUUCAGUAAAAGAUCACACUGUUACACCACAUUUUCAGUAUGAUAAGAAAGAAAGGUAAAGCAAAAAUAAACAGCAAAGAGCAAAGUCUGGCUUGGAGAUUCAGCCAACAUGAUGUGGCUUAAUGCAGAAGUCGCACAUACACUUGCUCCUUCAUUGACUGAACACUGCAACAUGAGUAGUGACCUUGAGCCACUGCCAAUUUUCUCUUAUCAGUUGCGUUUUCCUUUUGAUCUGUGGCUUCAAUGCAAGCGGUAGAGUCUUAAAUACCUGUGGCUGUCCUGUCAUCAAUAGGGAAGAAGCAAUAGGCACAGCAGAAGCCAUCGCUUUAAUUCAGGAGUCUUUUUUCCCCUUUAACAGGAUGGAAAUUGGAAAGAGGCUUCUUUCCAUCAAUGGCAACGGUGCAGACUCCUGUUGUCGGUAGGCCCUGUAUAUGCACUUCUGUGUCCAUGAUUCUAGCGAUUCAUUGUCGCGGCGAUAAGUUCAAAGAGAAGCACAAGCUGAAUAGGGAGGACAUGCCGUACCACUCAAACGUACAACUUUUAAGGUAUGUGAUUUUUUUUGUUUUGUUCCUAAGCAAUUUGGCAGUGUCCUUAUUUUCUGCCUCACUGGUCGCCUUUUAUCUCCUCUCCUUCUCGUGUUUUAGUUAGGUUUCUUUCCCUCUCAUUCUCCUUCAAGUUAUGUCAGUGGCACUGAAUACUGAUGAGUAAGGCUUGUCCCCAGCCACUCAUUCUCAGGUAAUCACUUCUGGCAUGGAACAUUGGCUGCAUUGUUAAGGGAACCAGCAUCCUCAGCCCUCUGUAAAACUCAGGUGAGCUAGUUAGUUCAUCUGCCCACAGUUUGUUCUAUCACAUUUAUUUCUGAAAUGCAGGCGGUGAGGAGCCAGCAGCCCUCCAGAUAUUGUUGCAUGCAGACUCCCAUCAGCCCUGGCCACCAAGGCCAAUGAUGAAGGAUGAUGGUAGUUGCAAUCUAGCCAUAUCUGAAGGGCCACAGUUUUACUGGCAGAACAUUUUAUUAAAAUAAAAUGGACUACAGUAAAGGAUGCAUCCAAAAUAUCCAUACAAUAUCUUGUGCUGUCCAGCAUAGGGUCAGCAUCUUACAAAAUAUGAAAUAACUCAAACAGACCUAAAAGCAAAGGUCUCUCUCUCUCUCUCUCUCUCCACUGCCUCCAGGCUGUUUACUGAGCCUUCAGGAGAGCUUAGUUUACAUCAGGGGUCACCAACCUAUGGUCCGGGGGCCGGAUAAGGCCCGAGGGACUUGUUUAUCCGGCCCGCAGCGACCCCCGCUGCCACCCACUCUUACAGGCAUGGCGUGGCAUGGGGACCCACUUCCAGAUCAGAGGAGCACUGAAAAUAGCUUGUGCGCAUGUGCACGGGCCUCCUCCGACCCGAAUGUGCACAGGAAAUAGUCCCCUGCCCUCCGGCCCGCCACGCGAUCAUCACUUGAGACACCGGCCCAAGGCAAGGAAAGCUUGGAGAUCCCUAGUUUACAUCUUCACUCCAUUGAGUUUGGGAGAAAAGACACAAAAGCAACUCACUUCAGAUUGGAGAUUUGCAACUCAAUGCCUUUAUCCCAUGAUCUAAAGUUACAAAGCUCACAUGUUAGCUACCAGAGAACAACCACCAAAGUGCUCUCCUUGGCUUUAAUACUGCCACAUGGUUAAACCGCAUGUUAAACCUUCUGCAAUAUACCUUUAGCCAUUUUUCAUUUCUGUGUCAAGUAAAUUAAUGUACUUAACACCCCCUGCUGUAAAGGAAGAGGGCAUCUGCUGUAAGGAUUUGCUUUAGAAUUAGCAAUGCCUAUACUGUGUCAGGCAGGGUCUAUCUAUGACACUGAAAUGUCUGCAAAGAUAGAGGGGGACUGUUUACUUAAUAGGCUCUGAAGCACCACCCAGUGUAGGCUGUUGGCUCUGAGUGGGAAGUGUGAAAUCUCUGUUGUUCUUUCUGUGCAACAAAUGCAUAGAAAUGAGAAAGAAGAGUUUGUGAAAAAAAUGACGGAAAUAAAAUACUGUGCUGUUGUAAUCAAUAUAUAUGUGACCUUUGCUGGGUGGGCCUUGAAUGGUGGUAGCUCCCAGUGAUGAUGGGUACUGGGGUAGUUAUCGCAGAUCUUGAUCCAGCAGGGGGAGACCUUGGAAAACAGAAAUUGUAUACCAGGGGUCAGCAAGGUUUACCUCGCCUGGGCCAGUUCACUCCAGUGGAAAUCCCUCCAUGGGCCGUAUCGUGCGUGCCCCCACGAUUUCCGGCGUCUAAACAGACGUGAUUUCCAGCGCUGCAGAAGCAAGUCCCCACACCGCACUGCGCUCGUUUAGCACAGCAUGCGGACACUCACCGAGCAGGCGGCUAGGUUUGGGGGUGGCUCGUGGGCUGGUUAAACGAUCCCCACGGGCCGCUUGUGGCCCAUGGGCCCUAGGUUGCCAACCCCUGUUGUAUACUAUGAAAGGGUUCACAAAGGACCUAUUAUUUCAUUUUUUAAAACAAUUUGUUGAACAUCAAGUACAAGUUGGAAUUUCCCAAAUUCAAAAUCAAGUUGAAUUUUCAAGUGCCAAAAUCAUAUUUAGCCAUCCAAGACUUUUUGUUGGCCCAAGAAAUCGGGUGAUUUUUCUCCUUCCCACUUACAAUAUUCUUUAAGCUGGUGUGGCGUGAGCACAGGCUUCUUUUUAAGAAGGACUUGGAAGUCAAACACUGUACCGUUAUGCUAUGCAGUAGCGUAAAAGGUUAGCAUUAACCUUUUUUUAGGAGAGCGUCUUAUGGUUAUACAUCACUGGCCGUGAUCCUUUACUGGUGCAAAUCAGACUCAUAAUGGAAGCAAAGGUCAGUGAAACUAUGCACGGAAAGUUAAGUUUACAUUACUUUUCAGUGCUGGAAAUGUUAGCUUAUGAUUAAUAAGGGUAGAACAUGCCUGAAUCCAAAGUUGAAAGUUUGUAAUAGCUGGUAUUUGACAGCCAUUUCUGUGCAAACAUGUUUCGUUAACUGAACCUGCAAGGUUGCCGGGAGAAAAUAUACAUACCUGUAAUUUUUUGAUGAGUCUUUACAGCUUUUGGUUUUAAUACCCUACUAUUAGCAUAUGCCUGUUGUUGUUGUUGUUUUAUUAUUAUGAUUAUUAAUUUCAUGUCUAUACCACUUUAUAUUUUAUGGAACAAAUCUCAAAGCAGUUUACAACACAUUAAAACAUGAAAUAAAGCAAGCCAGAAUAAAACAAAUCCAAGCUUCAAGGAAUAUAUUUCAGAUAUUCCUCUAGGGGGCGUUUUGCUUUUCCCAGCCACCAAACUGGCAUCCAUAGAUGGCCAUGUGGUUGCAAAUUGGACCUGUGCCAAUCACAAAACACUCCUGGUUAAUUUCUAACACUGCUGUACUGGUAUCGUGUAUGUAUACAUACACACACAAACAUACACAGUGACAUUCAUUUUGGACAACAAGCAAUAGUUUGGUUUGUGCUUUUAAAACGUUAUUGAUUUAUUAUUUCCUAACAUUUAUACACUGCUUUAUUCUAAGAGAAGAAAAGCCCUCAAAGCAGUUUACAAAAAAAGACAAAAAACACACCUACCAAUAAGAAAAACUGACAACCAUAAUUUAAAACUUGUGAGAAGUUUAAAUCAGCAGCAAACUAAAAAGAGAUUAAAGCUCGCAUGUUGAAUAGCCACCAGCCUAGCAUUACCAAAGGUCUUAAUUCUCCGGCUUCAUAUAUUUUAGCAAGAAACAACCCUUUAAGGAAAGGGGAAUAUAUUGAAUAUCUAAACAAAAACUGAGAGCCAUGGUGGAUGCAUUACACCGCAGGAUGCAACAAAUCUGCACACAUACUUGAUUUACUUCUCUGGGGGUGAUUAGGUGCUAUCUGGUAACUGUUGAUUUAAGCAGAGUCUCGUGCCCAGCGGAAGGAUGAGGAAUACGUGCUGCAUACUCUAUAUUGCUUUAUUUACAGUUCAAAGCUGGUAUAUUACAGAAAGACAUCUUGCCUCUGCCGGAGCAGAAAAUGCAUCCUCUCUCCUCGACAGCUCGGAGAGAAUCACACAGUGAAAAACAGGAAACCAGUGUACGUCACAUCCAGUCUCCCUUUCCCGUGAGAAACUCCAACAGUACAGACUGUGGAAUGUAAACACCUGUCUCGUGACAAGCAGAGCUGCACAGUGAAGGAAAGCAGAAACCAACAUCCUCCCCCUUUCUGUGAACAUCACUGGGCAGCGUGUUUGCACAAUAUCAGUACAAACCCAACUUCUGCACAUAGGUACAGUGUUGAUCCCUUGAUACAAUCUUGGACAAUACAUCAGCAGGAAUUUCAUUACCUGGCAUAUAGGACACCGUUACGAGUCCCUUCUGAAUACAUUCCCUAGCAUGCUGCAACUUUAAUUGUAAGUGCUUUGUGCUUUGCUUACAACCUUCAGACUUCAGCAAAGCCAAACAUGCUUUGUUGUCCUGGUAAACCUGGAUUGGACAUUUGACAGGAAUUUUCAUAUCUUUGCACAAUUGUACUAACCAUUCACAAUCCUUAAGUGAAUAAGACAGUGCAUUCAGUUCGGCUUCACAAGUACUUAAGCUAACUGUUGUUUGCUUCUUGCAUGACCAAUCAAACAGACUCUGAUUGUACAUGUAGCAAACUCCAGACGUACUUUUCCUGUCUGUAGUGUCACUUCCAAAACUUGCAUCUGCAAAUAUCUCAAGACCACCAGACUUCUGAUUGUUAAAUCUCAGUCUGUAAUGCAUAGUGCCUUUCAAAUACCGCGCUAUGCGUUUCAGAGCUUUCCAAUGCUUGACACUAGGAUUGUUGACUUGUCUGCUUAGCAAAUUACAGCUAACAGCAAUGUCUGGUCUUGAACAUCUGGCAAUGAAGUUUAGCUUGCCUAGCACACUCCUGUACAGUGUAGUGUCAGAAAAUGCUUCUUCAGUGUCAUCUACCUGAUAACCUGUUGUCAUCGGUGUGUCUACAGGGUUAGCAUCCAUCAGAUUUAGUUUGCUUAACACAUCAGCAAUUUUCCGUGACUGGUGUACUAGAAUGUUACCAUCUUGAUCUCUCUCUAUUUCCAGAGAUAGGUAGUUGUUUACCUCACCAAGAUCUUUCAUGUCAAAGUGCUCUUUCAGUUGAGCUAGGGCGUUAUUGUACAUUGCAACAUCUUUCCAAAAGAAUAAUAAAUCAUCAACAUAAAACAAACAGUACAGUUUCUUUUGCCCCUCCUCUUUGACAAAUACACAUGGAUCAGCUUUCCUUGCUGAAAACCUAGAGAAAACAAUACUUCAGUGAGUUUUGUGUGCCAACACCGUGCACUUUGUUUGAGACCAUAAAGGGAUUUCUUCAGAGCACAAACAAAUCCCUGUUUUACCUGUACGCCAUCAGGUGGAAGCAUAUAAAGUGAUUCAUCUAGAGAUCCGUACAGAAAAGCUGUAUUAAUAUCAUGGUGACUAAUGUGUAGAUUUUCCUCUGCAGCUAGCUUGAGCAUAAGCCUAAUGCUUUCAUAUCUCACUGUGGGUGAAUAGGUCUCGUGAUAGUCUUCACCUGGUACCUGUGCAAAACCUCUGGCUACCAAUCUGGCUUUGUGUCUGACUAUCUUGCCAUUUUGAUCUGUCUUCGCUUUGAAGACCCAUUUGCUUCCAAGCAGUUUCAUUCCUGGAACUACUGGAACUAGCUCCCAUGUUUUGUUCCUUUCUAAGGAAUCAAGCUCAGCCUUCAUGGCAUUUAACCAUGGCUUAGCUUCCUUUGAAUCCAAACCCUGGAUUUCUUGGAAACUUGAAGGUUCAAAUACCUUCUUGGAGCUUUUAACAGCUGUUACUGCUAUCUUAGCAAACUCAUCAGCAAAUCUCUUUGGAGGUUUGCCUUUUGUGGCUCUCUGUGACCUACGAAUUAGCCUUAAGUCUUCAACACUCUCCUCUUCCUUCUUAGGAGAAAAACGACCUAUUGUGAACAAUGGUUCCUCCAAUUCUUGAUCAGAGCUUUCAGAGGGUCGCAUAGAGGCUUUCGCACUCUUGAAAUCCUCUGAAUCACCCGAUUCAGUUUCAGAUUCAGACUCAGAACCUUCAUCAGUGGGUGUGGGCUGUUGUGGUUGCUUUUGACUAUCCUCAGUCUCAUCACCGUCAUCAGGAUAACAUUGGAAAAUUCCCACAUUCUCCCCACACUUUGCAUUGUACUCAACACUUCUCGUGAGCUUAAUUGUCUUAGAGUCAGUCAUCAUUAUUCUGUAAGACCCUUUCUGAUAACCUAGAAAGAUACCAUGCAAUCCACGCUUGUCUAACUUGGAGUUUUGUGGUGAGCGAACCCACAUGUCAGAACCAAAAAUCUUCAUGUGUUUGAUGUAUGGCUUCUUGCCAAACAUCUUCUCAUAGAGGUACAACCAAUCGCUGAAGAUAACCUGCGAUUGUAACUGUAAACAAAACACGAGAGAGAUUCGGCCCAAUAACUCUCUGGAAGAUUGGCAUCAUGCAGCAAGGUUUUUAACCCUUGAAGCAAUGUCUGAUUUGCCCGUUCCGCAAGUCCAUUCUGCCAUGGCGAGCGAGGACUAGACAAAUCGUGUUGAAUUCCUUUCUCAGUCAGAAAAGCUUCAAACUGCUGAGAAGUGAAUUCCCCCGCGAUCACUGAAAAGAGUCUUUAUCUUCUUACCAUGCACAUUUUCCAACCAAGCACAGAAUUCCUUGAACCUAGGAAAAGCCUCCGAUUUCUGCUUGAGAUUGUACACAAAAAUAUAUCUAGAAAAUGCAUCAAUGAGAACCAUGAAGUAUCUAUUUCCACCCAAAGAGGGCGCUAGUGGUCCAACCAAAUCAGCAUGAACAACCUGGUAUGGUUCUGUAGCUUUCCUACUAGACACCUUACCUUUCGCAGCCAUUUUCACUUUGUUUGCUGCGCAUGCUUUGCACUUCAUGUGGUACCUGCAGGGUUUAAUAGUCAUACCUUCAACCAAGGCAGGCAUUUUAGAUACUGCCUCAAAAUGCAAAUGACCAAAUUUUCUAUGAAAAUCGUGAAUACAUUCUGCAUGCAAACUUUUGUUAGAACCUGCAAUGCAACAAGUGUCAUCCUGCACCACAUCAUCAUAAUACAAAACAAACAAAUGAUCAACAUAUUCUGCAUGCAAUACAUAAUCAUUUUUCUUUGUGAUGAUGCACUUCUUGUUCUUGAAGGAAACGUCAAUGUUCCGCUCAUUCAGCUGUCCAACGCUGAGCAGAUUAUGUUUGGCGUCUGGCACGUAAAGCACAUUCUGUAUCGAUAAGUCCAAACUGUGAAGAACAACAGUUCCGUAGCCUUUACUGGGAAUAGUGUGGUCAUCCGCCUGGUGAAUCGCACCUUCCUGCGGUGUAAAAGACACAAACAGUCUCUUAUCAUUGCACAUGUGGUGGGUCGCCGCUGAAUCAACAACGAAGAAAGAUCUAGACGUCUUCUGGACCUCUGCAACCUUUGGAGUGAAGCGUGAAACCAUAGCCUUGUGCUGCGUUGUCCUAGACACCGGACCUUUGCCUUUGCCUCGGCCUUUUCCGCGUGAUGAGCUUUCGCUGCGCUGCUCUGUCUUGGCCCUGGGAUGUCUGCAUUCCCUCUUCAUAUGGCCUAGACGUCCACACGAGUAGCAUUUCACUGCCUUCAAAGCUUUGGCGCCAUCUGGUGGUUCCACUGCACUAUGGGAUGACGUCUGUGAAGACUCCCCUUGCCCAUGCAGCUAGCACCCCGGCGAUCUGCUUCAUUUAAAAUCACGGCAGUAACAAAGUCCACUGUCAGCUGAGCAGUUGGUUGCACAGCAAUCUGGGUUGCAACAGACUCCCAACCUGAACCCAAAGAUUGUAGUAUCAUGAAAGAAUACACAGCCUCUGGAAAGUUGAGUCCUCUCUGUUGCAGCUCAUGUCUCAGAUUUUGCAUCUCCAUCAGAUGUAAACGCACAUCUCCACCUUCAGCAAGAGCCAUAUUAUGCAGCUUGUUAAAGUAAAACAUAGUGGAUCCAGCUUCUGUCCUUAAGUGAGCCUCUCUCAAAGCGUCCCAAAUUUCUCUGGCUGAGGUCUUAUCACGCAAUAGACAGAGCUCUUCUGGGGAUACUAUCAAUGUAAGAGUUCCCCUUGCUUUGGAAUCCUUAGCUUCCCAUGCAUCUGUAACUGGAACUGGGGGUUCCUGUAAUCACCUCAAACAAACCCUCUUUCCGCAGAAUUGCCUCUGCAUACUGAACCCAGUCGCUGUAAUUUUUCUUGUUGAGCUUAGGAAUCCCACAAGCAUCCUGAAGGGCCAUCAUGACUCUGGCAUUAGCCUUCAGCGUCAUAUAUGCUGCUUUAAAUCUUGCUGCGUCACUGCUGCAGCUGCUUUAUUACAAAGGCACACUUAAAAGUUACUUUCGAUUUCCCCAGCAUAGUGACUUGUGCCUGGGAGCCUUUUGCCUAUUCCCGGCAAAACCGGCUUUAAAAGUUCAAAGUCCAGCCAUAAAGCCAUUAACUUGAAGCUGGCAGGCUGCCCGGAGCAGUAGCACAUACCUCAUCAAUCACCUCUACGCGCAGAGCAGAUUCCGUUCCGAUCUGUCCCUCUGCAUUCCGAUCCUUUGCCGGCACUCCGAUUCGACUUCUGGGCCCAUAACCACGUGUUGAUUUAAGCAGAGUCUCGUGCCCAGCGGAAGGAUGAGGAAUACGUGCUGCAUACUCUAUAUUGCUUUAUUUACAGUUCAAAGCUGGUAUAUUACAGAAAGACAUCUUGCCUCUGCCGGAGCAGAAAAUGCAUCCUCUCUCCUCGACAGCUCGGAGAGAAUCACACAGUGAAAAACAGGAAACCAGUGUACGUCACAUCCAGUCUCCCUUUCCCGUGAGAAACUCCAACAGUACAGACUGUGGAAUGUAAACACCUGUCUCGUGACAAGCAGAGCUGCACAGUGAAGGAAAACAGAAACCAACAGUAACAUGCCAAUGUUCAAUUCAUUUUAUUGGGUGCAUCGCCCAUCCUCCAAAGAGUUUGUAGCAAUGUUAUAGCACCAUAACAACAUUAGAGUGAGACUUAUUGACGUAUAUAUUGUCUUACAUGUCCUUCCAGCAUGCUGUUCCUACAAAUUAAAUAGAGAAGAGAAGGGAAACCUUUGUCCCCGCCUGAUGUUGUCGAUUCCAACUCCCAUCAGACCCAGAGCACGGCCAAUCCCCAUGUAUUAUAGGAUGUGUAGUCCUAUAAUCCACUAGUCUCACAUCCCUGAUAUAGAGAGUGGUGCUUCUGUCAAUAUGUGUAGCUGCAAUUUGUAUGGGCAAUCUUUUCUGGAAGAUCAUUGUAAUUUCGAGGCGUUAGUUGAUCUAGCAUGGUCAUCUCUUCCUGCCUCUGUUUACUUCCUGUCUCUAACUCUUGUUAAAGUUCUUUGAUGAAUGAGAGCAGCCUUUAACUUCUGACCUUCUUUGAGGUAGAAGCAUUGGGAAGAGGGUGACUAAUGAAUGAUCUGCACGUAGCCAUACAGGCUAGCUAUCAAUAAUCUAUAAAUCAGAUGGUUUGGGGGCAGAGUGCUGAGAAGCUUGUGCAUGGACUGAUCGAUCACAGGGCCGUGAAAACUGAGGCUUCACCAUUUCUUGAGGGCUUCUCAGUGGCAGAUUAAAGUGCUUGCUUGUUAAUGUAUAUUAUGCUUGCUGUUUAGAAUAAAAUCUUUAAUCUUCUCACUUGCUUGUGUUUGUAUUGCUUCUGAAUCUCAUUAAAAGAACCACCUUGCAUUUGGCAAGACCUAAUUCCACAGUGGAUGUCAACUGAACAUACCAAUGUAAGGCUGGACCAAAAACGUUCCUAAAUUUGUUACAAAUUGUAUUAGCUGGGCAAAAUAUUUGUAUCCGAGUCAAUUCCUGGUCAUGUUUUUAAGAGACACACUUUGAGGCCUAAGUAUCUGUCAUGAGAUUAUUUCAGCUGCAGAAAAUCUCAAGCAUAUAAUACAAUUUGGUUGAAGAAAUAAUGUUUACUGUACCAACAAAGUUUUAUUGGUCUGGCAUUUUUCUCCCUUCUGAUAGUCUGUUUACUUUCAGCAGAACGACACCAAAGUUCCUCAUAUCAAUCACUUGACUUUGGUUUCACUACAGAGAACACCAACAGUUUUACUAAUAUGUGGCUAUGGAAAGCUAACAGUAUGGAAGAAAGCUGCCAAUUUGAUGAAGGGGGUUUGGGGACAAAUUUGACAGAGGUGAUCUAUGUUUUGCCUUCAACUUGUUCACUGAACACAGAGGACACAAGAACUUGGGGACAUGAAUCUCCCAUCCCCAAGAUCAGGACCUCUUCCAGCAUUUUAUUUUCCUGGAGUGGGGUCUUGGAUAAACAAAUCCAUACCUUAAGAUGCAUGACUAUAUGUUUUAGAGGAUGGUGCAUUUUGAUGCUCUUUUACUGAUUUAUGGAUGGUUGGAUCUUGCUGGAUUCUGCAGUGUCCUACUGUAAAAGCAGCAACCUUACACAAUGAGGUAAGCCCCAUUGAAUUCAAUGGCACUUUCUUCUAUGUAGACUUGCAUAUGGUUGCAAUUCAACUGCUGUUCUAUUUAUGUUUGCUUUUAAUUUGCUGUUCAUAUUUUAAAAUAAUUGUUUUAGGUUUUUUCCUGUUUAACAGGAAACAUUAAACAGAAAAGACAAAAAAGAAUAUUUGAGAUUGACUAUAUUUAUGGCAAAGCUUGCAAUCAGUGCUACCCAAAGUGGUUUUUCUUGAGAGUGGAGGCGAUGAACACAGCCACCCAGAUUUAAUCUUAAACAAAGAACUCAUAUUAGACAGCCUUUGUCAUCUUGGUGUCCUCUAAGAUGCUUUGAACUGCAUCCCCCCUAGCCAGCUGUGCUGUCCUGGCUGGGAUUGCUGGGAAAUGUAGUCCAAAACACCUGGAGAGUGCCAGGUCUGCAAAGGCUGUAUCAGAGGCUGUAUUUAGAAGCAUUUUAAUUAAUUUAUUUAUUUAAAAGGGGGAAAUAAUGUCAAUUUAAUUCAAAGCCUCCUGUCGAUGACUGGCUUCAGGUGGCAUGGAAAAAUGUGAAAAUAAGAAAAAGAGGUCACUUGUUACAACACUGCUCACCAAACCCUAUAGAAUUCUCUCUUUUUUAAUGAAAUAAUUUUUAUUGGUUUUACAAAUACAAAGUACAAAUAAACACAAACUAGUAAAAACAUAUCUACAUAAAGAGAUUCUCCAAAUUUUGAGACUUUCUCCUCCAUGGGGUCUCAUUUUAAAUAUCUACAAUGGCAUAUUCAUCCAUACUCCAAUUUUUAUAACAAACCAUAUUGUCCAUAGUGAUUUUCACACUACAAGUGAAUCAGAAUCGUGCUCUUGUUUCCAUCUGCUUACAGUGGUCUCCUAAGUAAUUUAUAAUCCCCCCCAUUCUUUUAUAAAGUUUUAAUCCUCUUGGUUUCUGAGUUUUCCAGUCAUCUUUGCCAUUUUGGCAUAGUUCAUCAUCUCGGUUUGCUGUACUUCUCCAGUAGGGACUUUGUCUUCUUUCCAACUCUGGCCUAAUAACAUCUGGGCGGCUGUUGUUCCAUACAUAAAGAGUCUUUUCUGCUCCUUUGGUAUGUCAGUACCUGUAAUUCCUAAUAAAAAAGCUUCUGAUUUCUUAACAAAAGUUAUUUUAAGCAUUUUUUUUCAUUUCAUUAUAUACCAUCUCCCAGAAAGCUUUUAUUACCUUACAAGUCCACCACAUAUGAUAAAAGGUACCUUCUUUUUCUUCACAUUUCCAGCAGAUAUUUGAUCUUUUCCUAUACAUUUUUGCUAACUUAGUAGGAGUCAAAUACCACUUUACCAUUUUUGCUAACUUAGUAGAAGUCAGAUACCAUCAUUUUCAUAUAAUUUUCUUUCAAUGUACAACAUGCUGUAAAUUUCAAAUCUGAUUUCCGUAACCUUUUCCAAUCUGCCAUCUGAAUAUUAUGUCCCAAAUCCUCUGCCCAGUUAAAAUUCUCUAUCAUUAGCAAAUUCGUUCAGUUUCUUUUUAAGAUUUCUAGAGGGGGUGAAAAUUUCAAUUCUGUGUCUGAGAUCUGAAUUCAGAUGUUCACAUUUUGUACUAUGCUAUUGUAUUGCAUCGUAAUAAAUAAAUAAAUAAAUAAAUAAAUAAAUAAAUAAGUCCCAGUUGCAACCUGUAUCUUGGAAUUAUUUUUCUUUUCUCAUUUUCCACCUUCAUCAUCGCACUGCAGUUCAUCUUUACUCAUAUCCCCUUCUUGCUGGAGAAGAAUAAAAGGGCAUUGAGGGCCUCGGUACAAAUUGUCAUACUAAUUCCCAGCUGCGUGGCACUCUUUACGAGACCUUGCCAUUUCAUGUUCAUUUUAUAGAUCAGCGAUUUCCUUUAGUCCUCCUCAUUACUGCACUUAGUGUGGGUGACUUCAACAGGCUGUGCUGGCUUUUAUAUUCUCAAAGUGACUGUCAUCGACAGUAGUGAAUAACCUCCCCCCCACCCCACCCCAGAAAGCACCUCAUGAGCAGAAUAUUCAGCGGAUCCCAAUGAGGCUGAGGCAGCUUCUUGUACAAUGAUGGAAAGCCAUGAAUGAUUGUCAUUUAUUGGGUAGUAAAUAUCUUUGCCUAUUAGAAACAGCUGGCGAAUGCAUCAGAGGUUCUGAUCGGCUUCUUCCUAUGGAGCAGAUGUUAGCAGAAUUGGACAGCUGUUGGAAUUAGGCAUGUUGUGGGCAUUUCACAGUAUCUGCCCAUGUCUGAAUCCACAAUAUAACGGCAAUUUAACCAAAGUCCAUUAGUAGCUAAUUAUUUCCCUUAAUUUUUCAGGGGAAAUGGAUUUGAUAAAAUAGAUUUACAAAGUAGACACAUUUUCCCACUGUCUGAAUGAUAUAAGAAGACAUUUUAACACACGAUGAUUCCUGCUUGAGCCAACCAAAUGCCCAAUAGGCCAAUAGCCCCCCACAUCUCCCAAUUCUCCAGCAUGCUUCCUUGGAUCCUGGAGGUGGUAUACAGCUGCCAUGAAUAGUAGCCAUUUUCUGCCCUCUCCCCUGUCAGGGAAUGUUUGGAGCAGGAAGACUGGGAAGUGUGCACUCAGUCUGAUCAGCUUCUCUCUGAAGAGAAGGAGGAGAGGAAGGAUUCACCCCCCCUUGUCUACAGCAGUUUUGGGGGGGAGAUGCUAUACUGUUCGAUGGAGAAUUGCCUAGUUACAAAAUAGUAAACGAGGAAGGGGAGUUGAGAGCACAGUUGGCAGAGACCUCUUCCAUCUCCAUGGGCUUGUCAGUCCCUCUGCAUUCUAGAACAGAGGAAGCAGAGGGGUGGGACUCCUGGGACUUCCUGUUGGCGCACAGGAUGUUGUUGGGAAUGGAGGAGGUGGGGCUCAGAGUAGCCAACAUCUCUCUUUGUGUGGAGACAUGGAUUCUUGUCUGGAAACCAGAUGACUGAAUAAAAGGGACUAUAAAAUAUGAACUGCUUGUUAGUUUUGCCCUUUGAUGCUACCAGAGGGGAAGAGGACUCCCCACGCCUGACAUCCACCAUGAAUUUUUCAACUAUUUUAAAGCCAUUUAAGGUGCUGGCAUCACUAAAAUAGUGUGGUAGUAAAUACCACAAGUUAAUCAUGUGUAAAGAAUUUCCCACCAGUGAGCUUCACUGGACAGCCUAUUAUGAGACACGAAUAUUAUCCACUUUCUCCAACAACAUGUGGAGGUCCACAGAUUAGCCAUCUCUGGCUAAAUGUUUUUACCUCGUUCCACUUUUUCAGAGCUAAAAUCCCUAUUCCCUUCCUGUUCCAUACAGAACCCAAUUGUCAACAGCCAGCAUGAAAUUAAUAGGAUUCUAAUGAUUAAGUUUGGUAUGAAAAGGUAGUAUUUCAGAAAAAAAGAUAAAAUAACAAUGACAGUGGCUUAAAUUUAUAAAUGUGGCCCUGAGCUGAAAUGGUUUGGGGGACCACUAACUGGUGGCUCCAACCUGCUGAAAAGUUUUCUUGCAGAACUCCUAUUCAUUUUAACGGGGACUGCGAAAGAUCCCUUCCUAGUGAAUUUUGACGUUUGUCAUUUCUUUGAAAGUUAAGAGGAAUGUCACUCUUAGACUGACACUUCAGUACUUAAAAUGUAUCAGCUGUACGACAGAAAAUUAGUGAUAUACUAUUCCUACCGCUUCCAGAUAAGGACUGUAAAUAAAUUAGAAAAGGGUUUGCAUUGUCUGCCUUCUCAAGAUAAAUAUAAUAGCGUUGAGUGGUAAAAUAAUAAUAAUAUGAGCUAUAAUUUGCAUGGUGCAACAGGUAUUAUAGAUUUUUUUUUAUUAAAGAAAAUAAUUAUCCAGUGGAUUCAGUAUUUAUGUAAAAAAUUAUAAUUUCAAGGGGAAAGUGAAGUUAAAUGUAUUUCUGAAAAACUGGAAAGUAGGUAUCUAAUCCUAUAAUGAUGCACAACCAACAGGCAAUUUUCUCUUCAUAUGUACAAUAUAUUAUAUACUGGACAUAUUUCUAUAAUUUAAAGGAUCAACAUAAGCCUUUCUCAUUAAAACUUACUCUCUAUUAUUGGGGGAACGGAGGAGGUGAAGGGGGGGAGUGUAGUUAGAAAGUGGGUGGUCUGUAACUUUUAUUUCCAACCUUCUUUCUGCCCCCCCUCUAAUUCCCUUUGACUAUAUCCAGCAGUCAAAUUCAGACCUAUUUAGGGAUUUAAAGAGGUGACCCAAUAUAAUGAGUUAUUAUCUUGCUGUCUCUGUAUUUAACUCUUUCCUUGUGUUAGGAUAGCAGAAAACAAUAGAAAUAUAUAGAAAGCCAACUUUCAGAUAGCUAUGGGGGUGGGUCUGAGCUGAAGUUAGCACCCCUAACUAACAAGGAUCUUUGAAGCAAUUCAGGGUGAUUUGUAUAUUCAUACUUUUUUUUUUUUAAGUUCCAACAGCAGAUUUGUCCAGGAGUUUGCCUGAACACACAAAUGUGGGUAACUUAGGGUAUAUAUGUUAAGGGGUAAGCAAGGUUAACAUGCAUAACAACCAGCUAUUGUGCACAUUCACCAGCGCUCAUGGACCAUGUGUACAUAAUCCUUCCAUGAAGAGGGAAUUGUGCACAUUUUCAGGUCAAUAUACAUAAUCCCAAUAGGCCUUGGAGAAUGUGCAUUUAUCAACUGAAUUUUGUAUAAUUAUGUAUGAAUUUUCAUAUACUUAAGUAAUUUUAUAAUUUAUGAUUAUGAACUUUGUAUUAUAUUAUAUAAUUAUGCAUAAUGUCCAAUAGGUCAUAGGGAUGAUCUUGACUGCAUUUUGUACAUUGUCUGGGUAAUAUGCACAUUCAACAGUCAGUAUGCACCGUCUCCAAGAAACUUAUUUUCCCCCUUUUAUUUCAUGUUCUGAAUUUUGCCAUUCCUGAGCUCCUUCUGGCACAGUGUCCAAUCUUACAGGACCAUAACAUACCCUCCCACUAUCAGUCAAGCAGCAAGAAGAAAGGAGGGGGCUUUUCCACAAUAAAUAUCAACUUUUUCCUGCUGUUCAACCCCCUUUUCACCACUCUCAACUGUUCCCCAGUUAGCUGAGCAGUACAAGGGGAAUUGCAGGGGGAGAAAAGUUCUCAGCUUUCCCUCUCACAACUAUGAUGCAAAAUUCUUACACCCCCCCCCCCGCUACCAAGCUUAGGAAAAAGCUUAAUAACAACAUGAGGUUAUCUUGGGGAUUUCAGGAGAAUGAAGAUUCAACCACCUGCCAAAGGGUUGCCCAGCAGGGAAAGAAGGGCUGCGAGAGAAAAAAGUGUGAAGCACCUCUUAGGGGUCAAAUUUACAGGGCGUAGUGAAGAACAUAUGGAACACACAACACUGGAAUAUAUAAAUUGCCUCCUCUCCACACAAAAAGUGUGGUUUUACUUUUAUCCGUGACUCACCUUCAGCUGAAAUUAUAGGUGUGGAGAGCUUGCAUCAUUGUGCCUUUCAUGCAAACUGUGGAGUAUAAGCUAUUUCAGUGCUGAAGGUGGACAAACAUAAUGGGCAAACAAGGCCAUUGUGGAUGUAAUCAGCAGAGACUUCUAAACUGCAGUGGGUGGGGAAAGGGAUCGACGUUCUAUUUCUGCGAUUGUGAGAAUUACUGCUGUCCAUAUUGGCAAUUCUAUUGAGCGGACAUAAAAUGUAACCAGCAGACUUAAGAGUUGACUUAAAUGCGUUUCGACGAAACUGAUCUUGGCUUAAAUGCAAAUGAUACAGUUUGCAUACCUUAUUGAAUGGAGUGCCCCAAAAGUUCUUGAUUUGCUUCUGUUGUGUGAUUGGUUGCACGCCAUCUCAAUUUCCAAGUGGUGAGAGAUUCCAAGGGUUUCAGGCGCUUGCCCUGAACCUCGUGGUGAGAUGUGAAGCUACAGGGAACCAGGCAGAGGGGCUUCUCAGUAGUGGCGCCUGCCCUGUAGAACAUCCUCCCACCAGAUGCCAAGGAGAUAAACAACUAGCUGACUUUUAGAAGACAUAUGAAGGCAGAAGUUUUUAAUUGUUGAUGCUUUACUGUGUUUUUAAUAUUUUGUUGCCAGCUGCAACCACCCCACCCCCCAGGGUUCGUGUUUCCCUUGGAACGAGCCACAGUGGAAACUGUGCUAUCUUUAUAACAUAUGGUUUAUUUACACAUAUAUAUACAAGAUGAGCCUAUGAUGGAGAGGUACACAGCAUUAACACCUCAAGAGGGGUCUUGCUUCUCCCAUAGCCACAACUUUGGAUUGAGACAGAAAUCAAACAUCGCUCUCCCUUUCUGGCUUCCCAGCCUGCUGCUUCCAGGUUCUAGCUAAUAUGACUCUACUCUAAACACUAGCCUUUGUCUUUCUAUUAAUGGGGCUCCACCCAUUUGUCCUCUGGCAUUGAGUCACUUCCUUUGUUCUCUUAAUGAACUAGGCAAUCACUUCACCAAGAAGCUAGCUUGGCUAAUCCAGGAAUUUGAAUACUUGCUUAAAUUUCAACACUUGCUGGAGCUAGGAAUUAGAAGGGUCUCAGCAUACAUCCUACUCCCACCCCCCAAACACAUUUAACAGUACAGUAUUAACAGUUCCUGAACUUCCUAUUCCUGGAGUUAUAAAGAAAGUUAGGAAAGAGGCCUUCUUGGUAGUGGCACCCUCCCUGUGAAACACCUUCCCAUCAGAUAAGCAACUAUACAACCUUUAGCAGACACCUGAAGACAGUCCUGUAUAGGGAAGAUUUUAAUGUUUUAUUAUGUUUUUGUAUAUGCUGGAAGCUACCCAAAGUGGCUGGGGCAACCCAGUCAGAUGGGCGGCAUACAAAUAUAAAAUAAUAAUAAUAAUAAUAAUAAUAAUAUCAUAACUGCAUAACUGUCCCCCACUCCCGGAAAAAGUGAGCUCAGGAGAAUACCAAUAGCUUCUAACCUGCUGCAUAAAAUUAGUGAUGGAUUUAAUGAUACACAGAAAAUAUGCUACAGAGAUAAUGGACUGAAUGGUCACUAAACAGCCACAGUUCACAAUCCACAACUGGUCAGUUAGGUGAGAUUCUACUGAAUUGCAGCACUCCAUCUGACAUUUUCAACAUGAAAACUUCCUUGCUAAAACAAAGAAACAAAAAUUAAAUAGAUGAAAGGGUGGCCACAAAAGCUGAGGCUAACAGUGCAUUAUUAGAUGGGGUGAAUCAAUAAGACAAGCAGCUAUUAGCACCUGACAGGCUUUGAAAAGUUAGCCUUUCUUCUUACUCCUUGAACAGAACUGAAAAAAGAACACUCUACAUACACUGCAGAGAAUCCACAUUUUCAAAUCAAUAAAUCAUAGUAAUUGGUUUGGCGAAAGACCCCAGACAUCAGCCUGAACUCAAAAACCAUUCCUCAGAUGCACUUGCUUCUAACUCAAAGACCCACAAUUAGCACCGGAUGUAACCAUUUGGAAACAGGCUGGAUUUGAUGGGAUUUUGCAACCAUCACAUUUCCCUAUGAGCUAUAUUUGGAGCCCAGCUUUCACUUGAGGGAGCCUGGAUCAUUGCCAAAUACAGACCGAUUUCUGUUGGAAGCGGUUGAGAUCAAAUUCCCAAAGCUGUUUUCCCUCUAAGGGACAAACUGAAGCAGAAUUAGCAGGGUGGGAAUCUAAACUAGCGUUUAAGCCACUGAAAAUUGCUUGGCUACAGAAUGUAUCUGAUUAGAUCAUUUACUGUAAAUAACAAUUUCCCCAGAGUUUACGAAAGAUGGUUUAGUUAUUCUUUUCCGUAUUAGCGGGAAAGGUCUCUGGGGCUUUCAAAAAGAAAAAUCCAGUUUACUCUGACUGAUAUGCCAAUGUGGAUAUGGUAACUUGAAUAUGAAUCAGCUUGCUGGUUUCUUAAAAAGGAGUGAUGGGCUUUGAGUCAGGUCUCAGACACAUGAAAGAUUCACCCAUGCUAAGUCUGAACGCUGGCAGGAAAAUGUGUGACCACUUUCAGAGCUUCAGUGUUUUAGCAGAGUCACUUAAAUACUGCAGUUGGAACAGGGGCGUAGGAGGGGGGGGGCGGACCACCUCUGGUGCCCUCACUGAGAGGGGUGACAUUCGGCGCGCUGCCCGCCCGCAACUCCCAAGCCUACCCCGAGCUGUAGGGGUAAAGGGGGAGCUGUGCCACUUUGCCAGUGGCAUUCUCCCCUUCCCCCUUUGUUUUGACAGCUUGGGAGUCAUGGGUGGGUGGCGUGCUGAAUAUCUGCCCCCAACUGCAGGGGCACGGGGCACCUGAGCGGCUAUCCCAUGCCUGGGAGGGCACCCUCCACGCCACGCCCCCCUCGGGAGCACACCUGCCCUGGGCUGCAUGGGCAUAUGCUGAAUUUAAGGCCUAUUGAGCAACAUCUGCGUCAAAGCCAAAUUUGUCUCAAACUUGCCAACCUGCCCCUUUAAAAUAGAUAUCAAAAAAAUAAACCCAGCAUUACAAUAAAUAAUAAACAGCAGGCUGCAGGAACAAAUUUAAAACCACCUCAGUGUAAUUAGGGUGUAUCUAUUGAUUUUAUUCAUCUGGGGUACAAGCUUAUGGCCACUUACCUGUGUCUCCUUGGGAAUCAGGGGGGUUUACUUCUAAGUAGAGGGACGCUGGUGGCACUGUGGGUUAAACCACAGAGCCUAGGGCUGGCGGAUCAGAAGGUCGGCAGUUCGAAUCCCCGUGACGGGGGCUCCCAUUGCUCGGUCCCUGCUCCUGCCAACCUAGCAGUUCAAAAGCAUGUCAAAGUGCAAGUAGAUAAAUAGGUACCACUCCAGCGGGAAGGUAAACAGCAUUUCCGUGUGCUGCUCUGGUUCACCAGAAGCGGCUUAGUCAUGCUGGCCACAUGACCCGGAAGCUGUACGCCGGCUCCCUCGGCCAAUAAAGCGAGAUGAGCGCUGCAACCCCAGAGUCAGCCACGACUGGACCUAAUGGUCAGGGGUCCCUUUACCUUUACUUUACUUCUAAGUAGGUUUAUCCUGUGGGUCAAUUUCUGUGCAACCCUACAACAGAAAAAUCCGCAGGGUGGCCUACAAAAAUGAGGAAAAUGCAACAAUAAAAUCAAGAGUAAAAGAAAAGCAACAGCAACUUUAAAAGUUGAAGUACUGGUUAAAAUUGGCAGCAACAAAACCACUGACUCUUAAGACAAGGGGAAUAAAAUACCGAUAUGACUUGCCAUGCCAGCAAACAUUUAUUCUCACAGGCUCUUUAGCUUGCCCAGAAUAUUUUGUUAGUGCUGCAGCUACAUAAUCUGGUGCAAGCAUUAAGAUGGGACUCCACACUUACUCUGACUAGCCAUGUGCUAAGAUUCUACUUCUAUACAACCUAUACCCAGGUGAGGGACCACCUUUUAAAUAAAACACAGAACCAAGGAAUCAAGUACAGCAGCCAGUUAAAGAGCCGAGUUUAUUAGAUGCUAUUGCAAUAGGAUGGAGCCCAACUCAACGUGGUUGUUUUAACCAAAUUGCCAUUUAAGAAGAAGGUCUGCUCUGAGGAAAGUCAGACCAAAGCUUAUACAGUGGUACCUCGGGUUAAGUACUUAAUUCGUUCUGGAGGUCCGUUCUUAACCUGAAACUGUUCUUAACCUGAAGCACCACUUUAGCUAAUGGGGCCUCCUGCUGCCGCUGCGCCAUCAGAGCACGAUUUCUGUUCUUAACCUGAAGCACUAUUUCUGGGUUAGCGGAGUCUGUAACCUGAAGCGUAUGUAACCUGAAGCGUAUGUAACCUGAGGUACCACUGUAUAGCAACUCAAACACAGCUCACAGAGAGUCAUAAAACACCCAAACAUUCCUAAACAUCCUUCUGCAUACAUCAAGAAAGGUUACAGGUCAUGAGAAGUAAAACACGCAUUACUCCAAACUUGACCCCCACAAUUAGUUAGUCAUGACCAUUAAUUUCAACGGGUCUAUUUUGAAUAAAAUGUUAGUUGAAUGCAACCCAUUAUACUUUUACUUUUCUUUUGUUGUUUUAUAUUGUGAGCCUCCACAAAAAACAACCUAAAACAUUUCCAAUAAAGUUCUAAAAGGCUGGGCCUGUAUGUUUCUCUUUGUUUCAAAUACGUAUUCAUGGAUUUCAUUUUGGAAAGUGCACGCUCACACACAAAUCAAUAAAAUCAGAGCAUUCAACAAAACCACCCUAGGUAACACAUAUUCAUUGUGCGAUUGAUCUCCAGUCCCGAUCAACUUAUGCAAUGCUUAAAAAUGACUGAGGGGGGAGGAAAGCAAGUAGCUUGGGAAAACGAUAUGAAGUGGGGAAAUGUUCAUGUUCCCCCUGUCACCAGUUUGAUCCCAUUUUAAAUGCCACCCUCCUUUUCCCAUGAAGCUGAAUUUUCUCUAUGAAAAUAUCACAGUUCUCCUGCCAUCGCAUCUAGUUUGGACCUUUGGAAGGAUACAGCUUCUUUGCUUUCCAGCUCUCAAGCGCUACUAAAGAGGCAUGAAAAGUUUCAACGUAUAUUUACAGUGUCAUUUCCUUUGCCUUUCUUUAGUUCUGAAAUGUAAAGCAUAAGGUGCGCAAAAUGUCAGGGUUUAUCUUGAAUUUUCUACCUUUGUUUUGGGUCAAAGCCUCAACCCUCUAAGCCAAAGACAACACUAAGCAUCUACUACUGAGGUCGAUGAUCUGCAAUUUGUUGUGGUGACAGAUCCAAUAUUCUGCUAAGGAAAUAGUCAGGAUGGCUGGUAAUGCACUAUUACAGACACUGUUGGGAAAUUGGCCGAGUCCCAUUUUAUGGGAAGAAACAGAAGCGUAUUAGACAAGUGUAGAAGGAAAGAUAUAAGCUGUGGGAUGGCUGGUAACAUAGAAGAACAUUUAAUGCACACUAGCUGGUUUCUAAAAUAAUAGAUCCCUGCCCUGGUUAAGGGUGAAAAUCAGUUGUAGAAUUCAACUUCUUUCAUUCAGAAACUGAAUGAAAGAAAAAAAUUAUUUAAUUGCUUUAAGCAAGGGAUGGGGAACCAGCUGUGGACAUCCAGAUGUUGCUGUACUCUGACUCUGAUCAGCAACAAGCCAGUACAGUGGUACCUCGGGUUACAUACGCUUCAGGUUACAGACUCCGCUAACCCAGAAAUACUACCUUCAGGAUGAGAACAGAAAUCGUGCUCCGGCAGUGCGGCGGCAGCUGGAGGCCCCAUUAGCUAAAGUGGUGCUUCAGGUUAAGAACAGUUUCAGGUUAAGAACGGACCUCCGGAAUGAAUUAAGUACUUAACCCGAGGUACCACUGCAGUAAAAAAUGAUGACAGCUGCAGUCCAACAUCAUAUGGGAGACCACAGUUUCCCCUCCUGUGCUUUCAAACUUCAAAACCUGUUUCUCUUGUUGCCCCAUAAUAGGAUUACUUUUAUUUAUUUUUAUUCCAAUCAGAGCUUUAUUUUUCAUAAGAACUCAGUUCCGACACCUGAUAGUUUGGGUGCUAUUGCCAUUACAGUGGUACCUCUGGUUGUGACCGGGAUCUGUUCCGGAGGCCCGUUCGCAGCCUGAAAAGAACGCAACCCACGUCUGCUCACACGCGGGUUGCGAUUCGCCGCUUCUGCGCAUGCGCGUGAUGUCAUUUUGCACGUCUGCGCAUGCGUGAGUGGUGAAACCUGGAAUUAACCCUUUCUGGUACUUCCGGGUCACCGCGGGACACAACCUGAAAAUGCACAACCUGAAGCAAACGUAACAUGAGGUAUGACUGUAUAAGAGAACAAUGGAGGCAUUCGUGGUAAGUUCUAGCACCUCUUUUUUCUAGAAAAAGAUAGCACUGAUUCCAAUAAUUUUAUUUAUUUACUUUUAUUUUCAAUAAUUCAGUUUUCCAACUGCCCUAGUGAUCCAUUAAGCAUCUACAGCCAGAAAUUAUUCAGUAGUAGAGCAGUUUGUGAAUCAAAUUGUUCCUGUUCACUAGCUUUUAUACAUCUUCAGUAUUUCUAGAUGUAUAUUUUCCUGUUAAACCAUGUUUCCCUUAUGUGGCAUCUGUCCAAUCCAGGUAGGGGACAUACACGAGUAGAAGCGCUUAGUAUACACUUGAAUCUUAUUUGUUAUUGAUUAAGCAUACAUGAUUCCAUUAUAUCCAUUUUUGGUGUUAGUUUUCCUGGGUCGUCGUUUUGUCUACGGCAUGGUGUAGCUCAAUGAAUUACCCAUUUCUGGAAAACAACACCCUGCCACAACUUGUGUGCAUGAUUAAUGGAUCUUGCGUGUCUGCUUAACAGGCAAAAGGCAAAGUCAUUUACUCUAAAGAAUAAUUUAGGAACAGCUCUGACCCAUGAAAUUAUACAUUUAGCAAGCAUUCCAUCCUAACUACAAUAUUUUGUUUGCCAUUUAAUUUUCAUUACAUUGCGUGCAAUGUUUUGUUGCUCCUGGUCUCUCUCUCACAUAUAUAUAUAUAUUUACACACACACACACACCCCCUACAUAUACUUCUUCUUUGGCGAUCACUCAUAGCUGAGUAAGAUUGUCUUCCAUAAACACGGUUUUAACAAUGAGUCUGUAAGUGACUGUGGAGGCCAAUUCUGGAUCCGCAGGACUGCUAUCAAGGAAACCUGCAUGGGAUUGUCGCUUAAGUCGUGGCAUUUCUGGGAAGGAGGGGGAGAUUUCCGUAACAGGAAGAGGUGGGUUGCAGCCUGCACAUAUGGUUCCCAGCGUUGACAGGGAAAGAUAGCCUCCAGGCAUGCAGAUCCAAAUUAUAAAUGCCUAAUGUAUCGUGGCUUUAGUGCGCCAUGCAUUAGCAAACCCCUGUAGUAGAAGGAAAUAUAAUUUUACACCUGUGAAUAUCCCUUUCAGUCUGCUAAAUAAAUAUUUGCCGAGUCAAGGAUUAGAGAUGUUUGAUCUGGAUGCCGACUAUGAAUUAUCGUAUGCCUGGCCAGGUCUCAGCCAGGUGUUAAUAGUCCCCACCUGCCCUCUUUAUGAUUGCACAUUGCCAUUCAGAGAUCUCUCCAAUGAAGCUUCAAGGGGUGGAUUUAGAUUUCCCUUCAAACCUUCACUUCUUUUCCUUGUUGAAAAAGAACCAUACGCAGUGUGAUGUUAAGCAGGUGAGUGGCCCUUGCAUGCUUGGUUUUCGUUUACUAAAUAGUACCUGUGGAAAAGGGGUGGUUAAAAUUAGGAGCGUGGUGUGAGGGGAGAGGAGAGGAUUUACCAUGCAUUGCCCCUGCUGUGGUUCCACUCAGGAUCAAGGUAUUUGUUCCACAGUGAAAGCUGCUAUCGGUGCCAAGGGCAGGUGGCAAAAAAUGACCACAGGGAGGACUGAUCUAGAUUGAUGUGGAAAGGAUCCAGAUCGUGUCGUGUGUGUCGUGAUACAUUAGCGUGUCAGCUGCAGUAUGUAGGUGUGUCAUGCGAGUGCUCCCCACACUCCUCCCGGGGCUGGAAAGGGGUUAGUUUAACCUCCGGUUUGCUAGUAAAACUGAAUUGCUGUGUUGCAAAAUGAUGCACGUCUAAAAAGAGAGCUUAAAAAAGUGAAUGCUCUUGGGCUGCAUUUUCAGAAGCAUAGUGUCCAGAUUGUGAGACCAAGUCCACUGGACAGGAUAUAUCUGGGGUACCAAUGUUGGCACCAGAGGUUAAGGAGGACAUCAACAGACUGGAGCUUGUCAAGGGAAGAGGGGUGAGGAGUCUGGCUACUAUGCCCUAUGGGAAAUGGUUGAAAGUGUUGGGCAUGUUUAACCUGCAGACAAGAUUAAGAAGAGGCAUGAUCCCUUCCUUCAAUUAUAAGAAGGGCUGUCCUGCCUAGUAUGGAGCAGACUUGUUCUGCACUAUAACUAAUGGGUGGGAAUUGUAAAGGAGCAGAUGUCAGCAAAAUAUAGCAUUGCGGUAAGAUCUGCUCUGCUGGUGGUAUGGGAGCAGAGCUUGGAUAAGCAUCUUUCAGGGAUGCUGUAGUUACCUCUUUCCUUGAAUAUCAGGGAUGGAGAACCUGUGGUCCUCCAGAUGAUGUUGGACCGCAACUCCCUUCCUCUCUAGCCAUUGGCCAUGCUGGUUGGGGCUGAUGGGAGUUGAAGUCCAACAACAUCUGGAGAGCCGCAGUUUCCCCAUCCUUGUUGUAGAACCUGCAUUGAACUAAAUUGGGUGCGGAGAACCGUUGGGUUUCCAGAUGUUGCUCAGCUACAACUCUGUUGGCCAUGCUUGGUAUGGCUGAUGUGAGUUGUAAUUCAGCAACAUCUAGAGCAGAGUUUCCCAAACUUGUCUUGAGCUGUUUUGGGACUACAAUUCCCAUCAUCCCUGACCUCUGGUCCUGCUAGCUAGGGAUGAUGGGAGUUGUAGUCCAAAAACAGCUGGAGAACCAAGCUUAGGAAACCCUGAUCUAGAGAGCCAAAAGGUUACUCACUCCUGGAUUUAUUGAUCUCUGAGUUCCUUUCCAGAUCUUAAAAUCCUAUGUUUCUAGAACUGUGGCAUGGUUAAAUCCCCCUCAACACCCACCCACACCAAGGUCCCAAUCCAGAUAGACCUGCUCUGUUGUAGAUAAAAUCGAAGCAAUCAAGGGCCAAGCACGUGCUUAACAUCACAUCUAAUUUGCCCCUGAGAUUACCUUUAUGGUAAUGCAGCACAUAGCCUCCUGCAGAACAUCAUGCCUGUUUGUGACACUACUUAACAUACUUCAGACUUAGCAAAGGCGUCAAGCUGAAAUGCCCUUCUUUUUACAGGCUCUCCUUUCUAUUUCACAAUUAGCAUGUUAAGAACUGCAAUCAAAUAGACUAUAGUCGUCCUCCCACUUAAAAUCAAUGGGAAAGUUUACAGCAAUGUAGAUUUUUAGUGCUGCCAAACCGCUUGCCUCAUUUCCUCUUUGAAGACACCUGUGCCUCGGGGCAUAAUUAUGCUUUUUCCAUAUGAUUUCAUGCCACGUUUUGUUCAUCAAGAAGAGACACGUUUAAGCGAAAGGGGGCUUGUGCCACCCAAAUGAUUUCCUCUCAUCUUCGAACCUGCCAUGAUCCUGUGAUCACAGCAUUCGUUAAUGUCAGAGCCACAUUUUUAUUAUUUUUAUUUUUUAGCAAAAGGUUUCGGGACCUGCAGAGAACAGUAAUUUUCAGACAGGUGGGAAACGUGGGCGGCUGUGUCUGCAAGACAGAACAUCAAACACAAAUGCUGCAGACCCUGGGAAAAUAGCAGUGGGGAGCUGCGAUAUUAGAAAAGUUCAAAGGUGUGUUGUCCCUUGACAACUGGCAAUGGGAAGCUGAUAUAAUAAAGAACUCGGAGAGGGCACUUUCUGAAUACUUCUUCAGAAACAUUUUAAAGCUAGGGCCUGUAAAAGACUGUCUUUGGAGUGUCCUUUUCAUAGACAUUGAGGGGUACUAGCCAGUAUGUGAAAGGCGCUGUGGUCUAAACCACUGAGCCUCUUGGGCUUCCCGAGUGGAAGGUCAGUGGUUUGAAUCCCCACGAUGGAGUGAGCUCCCAUUGCUCUGUCCCAGCUCCUGCCAACCUAGCAAUUCGAAAGCACACCAGUGCAAGUAGAUAAAUAGGUACUGCUGUGGCGGGAAGGUAAAUGGUGUUUCUGUGCGUUCUGGUUUCUGUCAUGGUGUUUCAUUGCAUGGGAAGCGGUUUAGUCACAUGACCCAGAAAGCUGUCUGUGGACGAACGCCAGCUCCCUCGUCCUGAAAGAGUCGCCUUGGACUGGACUUAACCGUCCAGGGGUCCUUUACCUUUGUUUACCUACCAGUCAGUUUCUUCAUACUGGGUGGCAUUCAACUGAGUCCUACUCAGAGUACACCGGCUGAAAUCAAUGAACUUGACUGAGGCCACAUUCACACUACAGAUUUAAAGCACUAUGAUACCACUUCGAACAGACAUGGCUUCCCCCAAAGAAUUUUGGGAGCUGUAGCUUUUUAAGGGUGUCCUUGGGUGGAAACACUCUGUUCCCCUCAUAGAGCUGCAAUUCUCAAAGAUGUUUAACAGUCAAUUCAUCUUUGAAGGAAAUCAUGGGAAGGGAAUGUUUUCUGCUGCGUACAGACAGGUUGUGCACAUUUUCCCUCACAAAUAUUGCAUGCAUCCUCUGUGCUUCUCAGAUGCUUUUCUCAUUUCUCUAGGAACAUAUGUGAUGAUCCCUGAAGCUGUAAGAGACCAAAAAGCCAACCAGUCCAGAAACACUACUAAAAAUGCAAGGAACAGCUAUCCUGUCUCAUCAACAGCUGCAUUCUGUUCCACCAAGGAAAAUGCAGGUCAUAUUGGCCAUUAUUUUUCUCCAUAGUCCAGGCCAGCAAUUUGAAAGGCACGUCUUAUGGUUUACUGCCUAUUCCCCACAGCUUUGAGGCAUCUCACCACUGUCUCUCUACUGAACGAAAGGAUUCCUAUUUAAGUGAAGAUCAAUCAGGGCUGCCGCAGUCAAACUUCUUAGGUACGUAUUACUUUCCAGCACCGACGUGGAAAGGAACAACCACAUUGCAUUGAAAUUCAGAUCAGCUUCCAUUGCUGAAUCUCCAAUUAAUUGCAUUUUAAUUAUUCUGUCAAUUUUCAUGUUGAAGCAGAAAGCCCAUUCUUUCAGAUUUGCUCCUGGUUGUUGUAUUCAUUUCAACAUAUGCCUGAUAUGUCAGAAGACACAAGACGUUGAAAAGAAAAAAAGGAAAACAAUUACAGGGGCAACAGUUUCCUAUUUUCUUUAUAGUGUUUACUGUAAUGUAUGUGGGAGUUUUUCUGUCAGUUCGGAGGCAGUGAGUUGGAAUCACAAGUGGAAAUAGUGCUGUUGUGCUCAGGUCCUGCCUGUGUGGGCUUCCAUAGGCACCUGGGCGGCUUCCAACAAAAGAUUAAAAGUACAUUAAAACAUCAGUCAUUAAAAACUUCACUAAACAGGGCUGCCUUCUUCUAAACGUCAGAUAGUUUGUUCCCUUGACAUCUGGUGGGAGGGUGUUCCACAGGGCGGGCGCCACUACCGAGAAGGCCCUCUGCCAGGUUCCCUGCAACUUCGCUUCUCGCAGUGAGGGAACCGCCAGAAGGCCCUCAGCGCUGGACCUCGGUGGAAGGGAAACUGUGUUGUUACAGAGGAAACAAGGUAAGGAACUGGUUUUUUUAGCAGUAUGCCCUGUGAGGUUUUAGAACCAUAUCUCUAAUAUUGUUCUAAUAAUGUUAAAAAGAUCAGUGUAGAUCCAGCUCAAGGAUCUUGUUACAUUCUUAUGCAGGCCACUGAAGUGUUGUUGUUGUUGUUGUUGUUGUUUUAUACUCUGCACAUCUGACUGGAGAAAUGUUGGAAGGGGUGUCCCUAUCAUCAUCUCUAUUUUCUCAGGAAAAUGUGGAGGGUACGGAGUAGGAUGUUCCUUUUUUCAUCAGAGAUAUUUUAGAAGGUAUGCUCUUCUUUUUAUCUGUAAAUCACCAUGAGUUCCUGUCAGGAAAAAAGGCAGGGUACAGAUAAAUAUAAAUACAGUGGUAUCUUGGUUCUCAAACUUAAUACAUUCUGGAAGUCUGUUCCAAAACCAAAGGGUUCUAAAACCAAGGUGUGCUUUCCCAUAGAAAGUAAUGCAAAAUGGAUUAAUCGGUUCCAGACUUAUAUAAACAACCCCAAAACAGCAAUUUAACAUGAAUUUUACUAUAUAACGAGACCAUUGAUCCGCAAAAUGAAAGCAGUAAUCAAUGUACUGUACUAUAAAAUAAAUAAGACAGUAUUGUAGAUGAUAAAAAUUAAAAUUAUUUUUUUUUCUUAUGUGCAUUGAUGAUAGUCAUUGUUUGGAUGGGGGGCUUUUAUCCAUUUCUGCAGUCACACAAUCAACCAGUAGCUGAACUGGGUUCCACACAGUCACAAAAACAAGUCACAAAAAUGAAGUCACAAGCCACAGUCACAAGACAGUCCCAAAUAACAAGUCACAAGUAAAAAAAAACGAAAAAGCCACACAAACAAAAACGCAAAGAAAUAGCAAAAACAAAAGCUCCAAAUAUCACCUCUGUGUUGCGUGGGUGCUUGGGACUCAACAGCCUACAGACUCAACAGGAAGCCUCUGAUUAGCAGCGGGGGACUUAAUUUCUCAAACAGAAGACACGCAACAGGAAGUGGGACAUGUUCCGCUUCCAAGGCAAAGUUCAUAAACCAGAACACCUACUUCUGGGUUUGCAUCAUUCUAUUUCCAAGCUGUUUAUAAACUAAGCUGUUCUAAAACCAAGGUACCACUGUAUAAUAACGAUAAUGAUAAUAACCCCAGUGUCUGGGCUAAAAGAUGAAGGUGGCGACACUCCUCCAGAUAUACGGGGCUGAGACAAUUUAGGGCUUUAAGGGUCAGCACCAACACUUUGAAUUGUGCUUGGAAACAUACUGGGAGCCAAUGUAGAUAAUUUAGGACUGGUGCUGUAUGGUCCUGGCAACUCCUCCUGCUUGAGCUCAUGGUGGUAAAGUUUGCAAAAACCAUGAUCAGGAGUCACAAGUCUACUGCAUGGGUAGACAAAGUAAGGCCCGGGGGCCGGAUCCAUCCCAAUCACCUUCUAAAUCCAGCCCAUGGACGGUUUUUAGAUGAAUAUAAUGUGUCCUUUUAUUUAAAUGUGUCCUUUUAUUUAAAAUGCAUCUCUGGGUUAUUUGUGGGGCAUAGGAAUUCGUGCAUUUUUUCCCUUCAAAAUAUAGUCCAGCCCCCUACAAGUUUUGAGAGACAGUGAACCGGCCCCCUGCUGAAAAAGUUUGCUGACCCCUACUCUACUGCUUUUAAUUCCAAAGGUUGUAUCCAUUGCUCCCAUGACACUAGCAGAUCAGUUUUUCCUCCAGGCAUUUCAAGGCUGCUUGCAUUUUUCAUCCUUCCUCCUCAUCUUACUCCUCACAGCAACCCUUUGGGCAUGUUAAGCUGAAAGAAAAGGUCUGAGCUUCCUGGCUGAAUGGGGAUUUCAGCGCUGGUCUCCCAGGUCAGAAGGGCCAUUAACUCAGCAGUAGAACAUCAGCUUCGCAUUACCACUGCAGUCUGCAGAACUGGCAUUGUUGCAGGUGCUACACAAUGGCCAUGCAGCACUUGUAGGAAAUUGAUAUUUUGACAUGGCAGCACACACACACACACACACACACAGACACACCGGAACUCGCUGCCUAUGGUAAAGGUAAAGGAAAAGGACCCAUGGGUAGUUAAGUCCAGUCAAAGGCGACUAUGGGGUUGCAGCGCUCAUCUCGCUUUCAGGCCGAGGGAGCUCCCAUUUAUCUACAGAUCUGGCAUUUGUCCACAGACAGCGUUCCAGGUCAUGCGCCCAGCAUGACUAAACCACUUCUGGCACAACGGGACACCGUGAUGGAAACCAGAGCACAUGGAAAUGCUGUUUACCUUCCUGCCACAGCAGUACCUAUUUAUCUACUUGCACUGGUGUGCUUUCGAACUGCUAGGUUGGCAGGAGCUGGGACAGAGCAACAGGAGCUCACCCCAUUGCAGGGAUUUGAACUGCUGACCUUCUGAUUGGCAAGCCUAAGAGGCUCAGUGGCUUAGACCACAGCGCCACCUGCGUCUAUGGACACUGUGCUGACGCUUGCUUCCACUGUACUGUUUCUGGCACCUGCUAAAAACCUUUUUGUUCAGGCAAGUCCAUCAAGACAAGUAAGAGUUGACAUGAUUUUAGCUUAACUCUUGAUUUUAAAUCUAUUUUGAAUGUUUAAAUACCCGCCUCUUUUAUUACAAUUUUAAUUUUUUGAAGUAAAAUUUAAUAUCUGUUUACAAUCAAGCGGUAUAUAAUUUUCGUUAAAUUAAUCAAUAUUCUUACAUUGGUCACUGAGCUAUAUUUACAGUGUGCAAAUUAAGAUUUUGAAAGUUUGCAGAUGUGGAAAUUUGACUGGCAAGAAGAAGAAGAAAAGAAAGUGAUUUAUAGUAUUUGGGUACCAGUUUUUCCUUAGCAAACCAAAGCUAGCCCAUGUGAUGUAAAUGGAAGAUCAUUUGUUACAACUUUGCACAAUGAUGGUAUCUAAGUCCCCAAAUUGCCCAAUCCAGCCAAAGCUUCUAGAAUAAAUGAAGGAAUAAACGAGAUUUUCUCUUGAUGUGUGUAGGUUGAUCACUCCCCCCCCUCCCGUUUUAUUAAUUACAAGAAUGACUAAAAUAAGAUUUGUAAAGAUAUGCAGUCAGGGCCCCAAGAUAUUUCAUGAGUGAGAUCAAUGACUCUUUUGUUAGCUACAACGAGUCAUUUACAACAUCAAAGUCCUCUGGAAAGAAAGUGCAUUUUGUUCUCUGCUCUUAAUGGUAAUGCCAACUAAGAUUCUUCGAUGGCACACCCUCCACAAUGUGGAACCAAUGAUAGCAAAAUGCUUUGCUUUAUCUUCGGUGUGAAAGCAAUUGCUUUUUCUCACAUUGCAAGCCCCUCAAAGAAAGCUUUAAGCCCCCAUUAAGGCUUCUAUCACUGGAUUCAAGUUGAUCCCUUACUGCCAAGCAGAAGAAUCUGUUAGGAGCCAAUAAUGUCUUUCGGCUUUUAAUGUGCCACUGACUGACUGAAGGUACUCUAACAAAUCUCCCAUGAGCUUCAACGUUAGGCCAUGAACCUGCUAAUCAAUGUGGCAGAGAAGUGGAAAAGAUGGCGAAACUAAGAGAGAAGCUGCCAUCAUUUUUUCCCCUUGGAGUGCAACAUGCAGAGUAUUUUCAGCUUCCAUAUAUAUAUAUAUAUAUAUAUAUAUAUAUAUAUAUAUAUAUAGUAUAUAUGCAUGCAUGGCCAUGCUCCUGGAUUGAAGCCAGCAUUACAAGGAUAUAACUUAUAAGUACAACAAGCUGCAAAAUAAUUAGAGUCAUUAAAAUUGACCGUGAGAAUGCUGCAGGUAAUGAGAAUUCAAUGCAUGUGUGUUUUACAGAUACUAAAAUUUCUCUUAACACAUCUUCUCAGGUACACAGGAGGAAAAGCAAGCUAGCCUGCUAAACCAAAAUUUCCAUGGGAUUAAGGUGGGAUUCCCUAUAGCUUCAUAUAAAUACCACAAUUUAAUGGUUGAAACAGAUUUCAAAGGAUGCUGAUUACUGUUUGAUUUUAUAGGCGAGUAAGUAAUUCGAGGGGGGGGAGUUUCUCUUUCCUUAAAAACAAAAUCGAAGCUUCAAAGCUACACCUAUUUAAAAGGAAAUUAUGAAAGUAUGGUAACAUUUAAAGGGCAUAACAGUAAAUGUGUCUGAUAUGUGUUUGCUUGUGCUUACAUUUAAUAUAUGGUUUAAUAUAAGGAUUAAGUGCAGACUUAAUCCAAAAAUGGAGUUUGAAUGGAAGAUGUUCUCAGCAUUCUUGAACUGUAUCAAUACCUAGAUGAGUCAGCAGUGUGUUUAUAGUUUUCGGUAAAAGUGUCUUCUAUAAAUGGCGUAUACAGAAUGGAGGGAGAUGAGACUUCAAUGAUCUGGUAAGCAGAGCAGCGAUGUAACCUACCAGAGAUCAAAUAAGUGUUGCUGCCCCACCAUGCGGCAGUAGCUACUGGUUGGCACCCUGACAAUUUUUAGUGAGUCAUCUGGCAAUGGGGCUGUGCUCUAUAAACUGUGUAGACAAGAUAAAAGCACAAUGACACAUUUUGCAUCUACAGUAACUGUUAAGACGGGGCAUUUCUGCAGAGAGAAUACUAUGACUUGUCAGGGAGAUUCGGGUCUGUUUCGUGUUCUCAUCCAUUUAGAUUUUAUAUAAUUUCAUUCAGGUUCAUGUAAAUUAAUUUCAUGUUAACAUUUGUUAAAAGGGGAGCAAAACUCUUGAAAAGGACAUGUUGUGAUUUGUCAGGGGAAAUCGGACUGCGACUUUUUAAAGUAUCCUAUGUUAUUUUAUUUGGGUCUGAGAGAACUGUUAUUAAGGUUACCUUGAGAAACGUUUGUUUCGUGAUGGUCCAAUGGCUAGAUACAAAUGAAUGAAUCCAAUCUGACCACUAUUUUGCAUUUUCAACAAUGUCCCAGAUUCCAGGGUAAUAAAGGCUGCCACUGCCACCACACACGGAUAAGGUAGAAUAUUCAGAUAAAACGCUGUAAAAUAGCCUCUUUUGCUGGGGAGGGCAGGGGUGAGAAAAAUGAAAACCUUAAGGCAUUUUCUGACAGAAAUGGCUUCUGAGAACUUUUGACUCAGCCUUCCUAGUAAAACAUGUAUUGACUGCUGGGGAAAAAACACAAAACAAUUCAUGCUUUCCUUCCUUUUGCCCAGCUUUCGACUAUCCGUUUUUCAUUUCUGAAAGCUGCCUUUUGGAAAUAUAUUUGGGGGAAAUUGUUAAAGGAAAUGAUGUUGCUAUAACAUUGCUUUAACACACUGAAACUACUGGGAAGACAUGAAAAGGUGUUCCCAGACACAAUUGGGAUGAGUUUUAUUUCACUGCUGUUUUCUGCACCGUAUGCUAGAUAAAGUAAAAAAAAAAAAAAACCAAACAAAAAACCCACUAUGUAUUGUGCUCCAAACCUUUUAUUUCUCACAUUGGUGUGUUCUGCCUGUUAUCUCAAAAUAUGUAUCCUGAGUUCUGGCUGAAAGCAGAGCGGCUCCUGGAAACACACAACAAGAUGCUGCCCUUUGUGGUCCUUAAUAACAUUAGAAAUGUGAAUGCGUUGCCAAAAGGACUUACAUAAAGCAAUCAGGAAAUACAGUAUUGCCUGUCAGCCAUUGGAGAACUUUGGUGGAUGGCCUGAAUUUAAUAAAAGGUUUGUGAAAACGUUUUUGAUAAUAAUGCUACUCAGGCAUAGGGAUGGAGGCAAAAUUCAAAUUAGUUCAUAUUUAAACACUAACUUACCUGUUCCAUGUUUUCCGAAACAACAGGCAAACCAAAACACAGCCAUCCUUUGAAUUUUGCACUUCACUGAAUUUCCCGUCGCAGUUUUCCAGCCAAGUAUUGUGUACCAAAAUACAUAUACAAGGGGAAAGUGCAUAAAAUGUAUAUAUUAGUGAAAAUAACAUACAGAAAUGCAUUGUAUUGGGGGGAAAUGCUAUGCAAAAAUGUGUAUGUUAGGCAAAAUUGCAUGUAAACAGGCUUGUUGACAGAAAUUCUCGCUAAGACGCUGGUGAAUUUUUAAGAGCACUUUUUUUAAAAAAAAAAGUAAACUGAUGUGGAGAUCCAGAGAUCCAAAAUUAAGAUUGGGGGAAAAUGAGAAACUAAAAGAAAAAAAAUGGACAGAUUUGCCCAUCCAGACUUGGGCACAGCUCCCACUUCUCCUUUCAUUUGUACACUGACCUAAUUUCUACCUGACUGAAUUCUAAUCCUAACAAUUUUAAUAAACCAAGACGUAGCAAAAUUAAUUUGGGUCGGGGGAUGUCAAUUUUUUUUGAACCUUAUGUCAUCAUUCUGUAUGUGCCUUAAGUGCUGACUCAAGAGUAGAUCGUGUGCAGCAUUCAUUCUGCCUGGCCCUGAAAAGGAUAUCUAAUGUUUCACUCUGUCUUAUGAUUACUGGCUAGGCAAAAGCAGUAUUGAUUUAGCACUCAACCACCUUCUUUCUCCUAGCUGCAUUCUGACAAAGCUUAAACUAGAGCUGUCAUGCUAUGCUUAUUUACUAGGUACGAGAGCAGACUGUUCUUUGUUUCGGGAGGGAAUUUGUUCUCUGGAAAAAAAUAAAAGUAAAGCCAAAGAUGAUUUAAAACCUAGGUCUACAGUUUGUCUAUCUCCUUAAAGUUUCUGAUAAAGUCACUGAGUCACCAUAUUCAAACAACCCAGGAAACACAAGCUAAGGUGUCGAUCAUUCCAGGAAAAAGAGUGUCAGAAAUUUCACAUCACGUAGGAGAAUUAUUUAGUGGCACAGCCAGCGCCCGGCCGGCCAUGAAUUAGACAGAGGCAGCUGCCUCAGGCGGCAGAAUCCAAGGGGCACUUUCAUGGGCUGGAGAAAGGAGGAGAUGUGGCUGCAGCAAAAUCUCACAAGGGCCCCACGAGAUCUUGCAAGAGGCCUGCUAGAUAGUGCACACAACCUUCCCAAGAUACUGGUGAGACAGCUCUCACAGGACCUCACCAGAACCCACAGCCACAGGACCCCAAUAAGCUAGGCUGAGGUGGAGGCAAGGGCAGGCAAGCACAGGUGGGUGGCACAAAGCGUUCAGCACUACACCUUCCUGUUUUGCCUCAAGGAGAAAAACGGGACAGGCCACUUCUGGAGACAGCAGCUGAUAUUCCGUGAUAUUUGAUGACCUGUGCCACAAAUCCGUUUUAAUGAACAUAUCAGAGUGCUCUGUAAAUGAUAGUUGAAGCCUUUAUCGAUCAACUUUUGUGCUCUUCCACACCCUCCCGAUGUUCCUGGCCCUUAUUCUUUUAGCUUCUUUUAAAUUCUUAUAGACUUUUAUAUUCACCUGGUGUUUUAAUACCUUUUAGCUUUCUAACGGGCUUUUUAGAUUUUAAAUGCUGGUCUAUGACCGCAAUAAAGAUUUGUAUUGUAUUGAUGUCUUUAAGCACCGUUUUGAAGACUUUCCAUCUGCCAACAUCGCCCAUAUGGGUUUUAGUUUUUUUAAAAAUGUAUGCAACUACAGCAGCUCGGACUUUGUUAGCCCCAAAAUGGAGGGUCACAGAGGUCCCUAUAAGGAGGAAUCACAAUUUAAAUUAAAGAAUAUGAAGGGUUAGCAGGCCUGACCAAUGGAAUGAGAGAGCAAGUAUAUAAAGAAGAGUAGAUUUUUGUGUGUGAAAUAUUUGGAAAAUAACAGUGAACAAGUGAAAACAGGAUUAAGGUAAAUUCAACCAUAUAAUGUACAAUAAAGAAAUACGAUUGGGGCGAAAUUAAAUUAAAUGGUUUUAUCAGAGUAUGCAGAUAUUAUGUGAAAAGAAAAGGAACCAUGGAAGGGGAAGAAGGGAAGUCGAGGAAUGUAUUAUUACAAUGAUCUAUAUUUAAUGGUGGAAAUGUAUAUUUGAAAACUUUAAUUAAAAUUUAUAUUUAAAAAAGCAUUGACUGUGUGGGAAGUCAUGAAAGAUUUUUUUAAAAAAAGUCAAAAAAACAUAAAUAAAUCAAUGAUUUUAAGCAGAGAGUUGUGUAAAUUCUAUUCUGUACUCAUGAAUUUAUUUCAGGGCAGAUCUCACCCUUUCCAGUAGAGUUCCAACAGUCCUAUAAAUGUCAAAUACAGUGGUACUUGGAUUACAUACGCUUCAGGUUACAUACACUUCAGGUUACAGACUCUGCUAACCCAGAAAUAUUACCUCGGGUUAAGAACUUUGCUUCAGGGUGAGACCAGAAAUUGUGCUCCGGCGGCAGCAGGAGGCCCCAUUACCUAAAGUGGUGCUUCAGGUUAAGAACAGUUUCAGGUUAAGAACGGACCUCUGGAACGAAUUAAGUAGUUAACCCGAGGUACCACUGUAUAACAAAAUGGUAACCAACUUAAACAAAUCUCUCUCUCUAUAAAUAUUUUUUCAUCUCAUCCACAGAUUUAAUCAUUAAUACUUACAUAGGAACAUAUCACGUAAUAAACCUCUCAUUUGUUCUCUACAGGUUAAUCUAGAAUGAGGAAGGACAAGGGUUGGAAUUUUAAUCUUGCUGGGAUUUGGGUCAUUUCCGUCCUUGAUGUUUCAGAAAUAAUUUCUUUAUAACAUCCUUUUAGGCUUCAAACAUCAAUCCAUCAUCCAGUUAUGCCUACUGAAAGCCAGUUGUCAUCAAUGUCUCCUAAGCAGGGAUAAACAGUCAGACUAGGUAACAGUGGUCCAAAAUGGAUAUGAAGUCCAUCAGGCUUGAAAUAAAUCUUUCUUCAAGUAACUGGAGUUUCCUCCUCUCCUUUUUCCAGACAAAGAGUAUGACAUCAUAUAAAGCACAUUCCUCAGUAUGUCUCCACCCUGUUUUCUCAUGCCCCUGCCAAAUAUAGCAGGCCUUUAGCUAGAAAAUAAGAGUGGGAUGGAGAUAACUUGAAAUCAUGGGAACACCAUCUACACAUUAGCGUUCCUACACUUUCAAAGCAUCGCUAUGAAUAAAGGGGUCAAGGUGCUAUUGAAAAUUCUCAUCCAGCCAUUUGUAUCUCUAGAGAGCUCACACAUUGUUCCCUCCUAUUUGAUUAAUCCGCAAGAAAGAAAGAAAUAACUGAUGUUAGUAGCUGAAAUGCAGUGAUGUCUUGGCAUUCAGAAGCAAAUCUAUUUAGAGGAGAUGUAAUUUAACAGAAGAACUUUGGGAAAUUUGUCUCGUUACUUCAAAACAGAAAGCUUCGGCCUAGGCAUUAAGCCAAGGGAAUCUGUCCAAUGAAAUCUGCAAGUCAUUCAUACGUUUGAGAUAAUAACCUGAAGUACAAAUGCAGAGCUUGCCUACAGUGCAAAAGUAAAUUUAAAAUAACACAGAGAUUCCUGAAGUCCAGCUGAUUUCAGAAUGCCCUAGUACAGGGGUCAGCAAGGUUUAUCUUGCUUGGGCUGGAUUGGUCCUGCAAAGAUCCCUCUGUGGGCCGGAUCAUAAGCCCACCUGAGAUUUUUGGCACCUGCGUCUGUGCAGACACAAUUUUCAGCAUCUGAGCAUGCUCAGAUGUGAUUUUCUGCACUGCGGAAGCGUGUCCCUGUGCUGCACUGUGCCAGUUUAGAGUAGUGCGCAAGUGGGCAGCUCGGUUCGGGGGUGGCUUGUGGGCCAGUCAAACGACCUCCGCAAGCCGCUUCUGGCCCAUGGGCAUUCGACUGCUGACCCCUGCCCUAGUACAUAACUAUUUGAUACUUAAAACAGUGUGAAAUUAUGGCACAGUUCCACUAAUAAUAAUAAUAAUAAUAGUGCUAGUAACAGUCCUGAACCCACACUCUUAGUUUGAAUUCUGACAGGUGUUUUGUAAGAUUCUUAGCACCCUUAACAAAGUACAGUUCCCAGGAUUAUUUGGGGGAAGCCACGACUGUUAAAGUGGGGUCAUAGUUCUUUAAAGGUAUAGUGUGGAUGUGGCUGCAGAUAUCAGUCAGAGGACUGUAAGCCAUUCAGAUCAGAUCAUUCUAACAGUCUUGCUUCUUUUUUGACACAAGCUUUAAACUGGCAUCUUCUUCUUUUAGGAACAUGUGAAGCUGAACAACUGGCUAUCGUCUGCUGAACUCAGUCUUGCCUUCACUGGCUGAAAGUUGUCCUCCAGAGGUUCAGAUAGGAGUAUUUUUCAAGUCUACCCAGAGAUGCCAGGGACUGAGCUGGAGGCUUUUUGCACAUAAAUGCACAUUGUGUGCUCAGUCAUGAAGAUAAGAUCCUUUAGUCUGUUUUGUCCUGGUUUCCUUCCCAGAUAGUGCAAUCCUGGUUCAGGAAUGAGGACUGAAGUGUAGUUUGUAGAAGGGGAAUUUCAGGUUCACAGUAGCUUCAGGAAAGUUGAAAGAAAACACAGUAUUCACAGAAAUACCUGAAGGAGCAUCUUCACCCCCAUCGUUCAGCCUGGACUCUGAGGUCCUGCUCUGAGGGCCUUCUGGCGGUUCCCUCACUGUGAAAAAUAAAGUUACAGGGCCUUCUUGGAAGUGGCUCCUGCCCUGUGGAACGCCCUCCCACCAAAUGUCAAGGAAAUAUACAACUAUCUGACUUUUAGAAGACAUCUGAAGAUAGCCCUAUAUAGGAAAGUUUUUAAUGUUUGAUGUUUUAUUGUGUUUUUAAUAUUCUGUUGGGAGCCACCCAGAGUGUACAUUAGGCAGAUUUGUGGAGGAUGCAACCGUUCACCAAAAUAAUCAAAUAAACCCUUAUAUCCAGAAACAAUAUACCUCUUGAGGAUGAACGGUGGGCCAAUGCUAUUGCCUUCAUGUUCAGUUGCCAUCACUGAAAGCCAGACGGACCCUUGGUAUGCCGUGACAAGAAUCUUUUUAUGUUCUUAUACACUUUUGUUAUUGUUGAGAAUUUGAGGUGUUGGUUGGGUGACCUUUUGGGGGAGGGGUCCUUCCAACACUGGUUGAAAGAGUUGGAUCUACUGAAGUGGUUGAACCAUGAGGACCUCUGGAAAUUACCUUAAUUGCUGUGAGAAGUAUCUUCUUUGUUAUAUAGAUUGAAGGCAAAUAGCACGCAGUGACUAAGGGGAUGUGCAGAGGUUGUUCAAGAGGGUUUGGGUUGCUGUUUUAAGUGAUAUAACCUGCUUUGUGCUUGAACAAAGUACCUGCAUUUUAUACAUACAUAAGCAAGGGGAGAGACGUGGGUGGCGCUGUGGUCUAAACCACUGAGCCGCUUGGACUUGCCAAUCAGAAGGCUGGCAGUUUGAAUCCCUGCGACGGGGUGAGCGCCAGUUGCUCUGUCCCAGCUCCUACCAACCUAGCAGUUCGAAAGCACACCAGUGCAAGUAGAUAAAUAGGUACUGCUGCAGUGGGAAGGUAACCAGUGCUUCUGUCAUGGUGUCCCGUUGCACCAGAAGCAGUUUAGUCAUGCUGGCCACAUGACUCGGAAAGCUGUCUGUGGACAAACGGCGGUUCCUUUGGUCUGAAAGUGAGAUGAGCGCCGCACCCCAUAGUCACCUUUGACUGGACUUAACUGUCCAGGGGUCCUUUGCCUUUACAUAAGCAAGGGAUCAGGCAGGUAGCCUGAUUUCCAUAGAAACAUUCCUAUGCUUCCUCAUUCCCCAGUGUCCAUGCUGUCUGUCAAAAAACAACAACAACCCCCCACCAAAAUCCACCAACCUUGAUUUCUAUCUUGUACAGCUAUGUCUAUUAUAUUCUUCUGAAAGGAACCACACAAAAAUCACAACCCACAGAGAUAUUGCAGGAUUUCUGUUAAUAAAAGCUAUUGAACUGUGGAAUAGUAUUUCCUGGAGAAGAUUCUUAAAAUUGGAAGCCAAAUGUUCUUGAUAUAUACCCCUAAAUAAUAACAGCUGAUUUUAUCUAUUUCACAUUUUGCAGGAAGGCAUGUAUGAAAUAGUAUACAUAGCAAGGACAAGAUACACAUCAACACUCCACUUUUCAAAACCAGAACCAGCUCACACAGAAGAGGAGGAAUAAUGCUGAAUCCUUGUUUAUUUUCUACUUCACUAACCUUUGCUGAGCAGCAACACGAUUCUACAUCAUUUGAGUUUGUUUUAUUCUGAGACCUACACAAUGUUUCUGCCCAAAUUCAUAUUCAUGCAUACCUAGCCUUAUGUACAUUUCUGCUAGAACUGUUUAUAUGAGCUAGGUUACUCAAGGGAUUAUCAUCUGCAAAGGAACACUGAGCAUAAUGCUAUUAUUUGGCAUAUUAUUUUUUUGGUGCAUAAUGAAAUACUCAUAAGCCAUCUCCUAAAGGUCAAUAAUGGAUCAUUUGACCUGGCGGUGAGGAGCAAUACUAUGGAAAGAAGAAUUAACCCUGGAACAAAACAAAACACAGUCCUGCAAAGGGAUGCCUCACUCUUAAUUCCCUCCCCCUGAAGACCUAUUAAAAUGGUAUCUCAUUGAGAUGGUUGGAGCUGCAUCUAGGAGAGCACCCAGGACUUUGCCAAGAAUGCCUUCAGUGCCCAUUAUCCAUAAAGGUAAACAAAAUAGAUGGCUUGGAGGCAGAUUGAAAGCAAACAAAAACAAAGGCUUCAUUAUACACAGGAAAGCAGGAGUCCCUUGUGAGCAGACUCUGUAACUUUGAAAUGUAAAUUCUAAUGCCCAAUGCCUCCUUGUUAGUCAGAAAUUUCUGUUUAUUGCAUUUUUUAGUAGGUACGGCUGGUGUACAUGGUGUUUUUUUUUUAGGCAUCAUGCUAACCCUCAAACAUAGAGCAAGUUGAAAGAAUGUCUGUCCCAGAGUCACCUCAUCUGAAUUUAGGUCUUUCUGCUUUAAGUCCAACACUCUAACCAUUAUACACUCCUGCUUCUGCAUCUACCAGCAUAAUGUCAGCUUCCUUACAUCCAGUGUGCAGCAGUUGUCCUAACCCUCAUGCCUAUCUUUUGAUCAAGGGCUGCUUCAUUUACUUCCUUGACUAACUGAAUGAUGAUAGAUAUUUAGAUAGGUAUUCAGAAGGAAAUCUAUAUAGAGGAGAUUAAUCUUACCCCCACUCAGCCUUGAAGCUGACUGUAUGACCUUGGUCUGGUCUUUUCUCUUUCAGCCUAACAUACAAACAGCCUGCCAGGGUAUUGGUUGGCCGCGAUGGGGCAAAAUUUGCUCAGCCACCCUGAGCUCCUUAGUGGAAGACCAGGAUAGAAAUAUAAUUAAAUAAAUAAAUAAACCCAAUUGGCCUUUAAGGAAGCAAAGUAAAAUAAGAACAAUGUUAAACGUUUUCCUUCCCCUCUAACUAGAGUUAAAAAGUAAAGGUACCCCUGCCCGUACGGGCCAGUCGUGUCCGACUCUAGGGUUGUGCGCCCAUUUCACUUAAGAGGCCGAGGGCCAGCGCUGUCCGCAGACACUUCCGGGUCACGUGGCCAGCGUGACGAAGCUGCUCUGGCGAGCCAGCGCAGCACACGGAAACGCCGUUUACCUUCCCGCUAUAAAGCAGUACCUAUUUAUCUACUUGCACUUAGGGGUGCUUUCGAACUGCUAGGUGGGCAGGAGCUGGGACCGAACGAUGGGAGCUCACCCCGCCGCGGGGAUUCGAACCGCCGACCAUGCGAUCGGAAAGCCCUAGGCGCUGAGGUUUUACCCACAGCGCCACCCGCGUCCCUACCUAACUAGAGUUAGGAGCAUCCCAAAUCCAGAGAUUUCAGGGCCCCAAACCUGAGACCUAGGGGAAUCUGGUGAUGUCAUUAAACAUCCUGGUGAUGUCAUUAAACAUGCCAGCUGCUGAGAGCAUGUCAUUCCGAUCAAAAGCACAGUCUGGAAAUUGAGCAAAAGUGUCACUGGUUGAAAUUCAAGACAAAAACCUUAUCUAAAGCAGGUGUGCCUAGAUCCAGCUGAAGUGAGGAGGCGAUUGACUUGCUUAGGGAGCCUGGGUAGGAAACAUUUAAUCUAGCCUAUUUGCUUCCCCAAAUCUCCCCCAAACUGCCACUGUGCCCAUUGUAUAACACUGGUAAAAAAGUAUGGUAACAUUUGCUUUUGCACACUUUUCUAAUGGUGCUCAUGCACAGGUACCAAAAUAGAUAGCUGGAGGAAUGAUUGCAGGGAAGGACACACACAGCGUCCCCUCUCCUGUCCGUAUAUCAAUCUCUGCUUUGAUGGUAUAUUCCAUCAAAGCAGUGGAAUAGCAAUGAAUAUCCAAGACUAGGAUGGGGUGGGGUGUAGAAGCUGAUAUGCCAAAUGUGCAGACAGAAUAAUUGGGUCUUUAUGACCUGUUUGUGAUAUGACUCCACCCCACCGCCCAAUCUGGAAGCACCCUAAAAUUACAAAAGCAUUUCCAGAAAACCAUUUGGAUAGCUAGCAAUGCACACAUUUAUUGAGCGUGAUCCAGCCAAAGGCAAAUGAGACUUGCUCUAUUGAUUUCUGCUGAGAGAUUUAUGCAUGUACUUGACUCUCUCCAUUGAAAUCAAUGGGAUGUAGUCGUGCUUACAUUUCACAGAAUCACAUAAUUGUAGAGUUGGAAGGGACCCCCAUGGAUCAUCUCGCCAGCACUCUGCAAUGCCGGAAUCUCAGCUAAAGCAUCCAUAACACAUACCUCCAAACCUCUUCUUUAAAACCAACGAAGGAGAGUCCACAACCUCCUAAGGAAGACCAUUCCACUGUCUCUAACAGCUCUUACUGCCAAAAAGUUCUUCCUGAUGUUUAGCUGGAAUCUCCUUUCUCCUAACUUGAAGCCAUCCAGAGCAGGGAGAAAACAAGCUUGCUCCAACUUCCAUGUGACAGCACUUGAGAUAUUUGAAGAUGGCUAUCAUCCUAUCUCCUCUCAGUCUCCUCUUUUCCGACUAAACAUACCCAGCUCCUUCAACCAUUCCUCAUAAGGCUUGGUUUCCAGAUGCCUGAUCAUCUUGGUCUCUUCCUCUGCACACGUUCCAGCUUAUCAAUAUUCUUCUUAAACUGUGGUGCCCAGAACUGAACACAGUAUUCCAGCUGUGGUCUGACCAAGGCAGAAUAGAGUGGUACAAUUAUUUCCCUUGAUCUGGACUCUAUACUUGCAGUCUAGAUGCAGUCUAGAAUAGCAUUAGGCUUUUUUGCUGCUGCAUGUUGACUCUUGUGGUCCACCAAGACUCCUAGAUCCUUUUCAAAUGUCCUACUAGUAAGCCAGGUGUUCCCCAUCUUAUCUUUGUGCAGCUGGUUCUUCCUGCCUAGGUGCAGAACCUUACAAUUGUCAUUUUGUUAGUUUGGGCUCAGUUCCCCAAUCUGUUAAGGUUAUUUUGAAUCACAAUUCUGUCUUCUGCAGCGUUAGCUACCCCUCCCAGUUUAGUGUCUGCAAAUUUGAUGAGCAUCUCCUCAAUUCCUUCAUCCAAGUCAUUUAUAAAGACAUUGAACAACAAUGGCCCCAGGACAGAACCCUACAGCACCCCACUUGACACUUUUUGCCAGGACGACAAGGAACCAUUAAUGAGUACUCAUUUUGUUAAAUUGUGCCUAUUGUGUGUCUACAAAUAUACACAAGUUGAGCCCAAACAAGAUCUGCUAACUGCAAGAUUCUUGCAGCAGCUACUUACAGGUUUAUAGGCUUCUCUGAGAGUUAUACAUAUAAAGCCAUUCACACAAUAUGUUAGAAGUGAAUUGUAUUAAAAAAAAAAAAAGGUGAAAUGGAGUUUUAGAUAUCUUUUUCUCUAAGGAUGAGAUGAGGAGGUAAAACCAGCAGAAUAGUUGAAAUGUCAUUUCCGUCUAGUGCAUUUAAAUGUGUUAGGGCAGAUUAAAUGUGUUAGGGCAGAUUAAAAGUUUGGAAAACCAAGACAUUUGUAACCUGAAGAAGAAAAGCUGAAUGUUAACCCUGCUGGUAUAACACUGAAGCUCUCUUGGGAAAUUUCCGAAUCACAUAAUUGAAUCCAACCCUCCUGGGAAGGAACCCUAAUAAACUGGAGAACAGCUUGUCAGCAAGUGCUUGGACUGACUCUCCAAUGCUCAAGGCUUGGGGAAAUUACGAUAAAAGGGAUUUGCUUACAACACCAAUUACCCCACAUUCUCUCCUUGUCAGUUACCCAAAAGAAAAAAGAAAAAUGUUCUUGCACAUCGCUUCUCUUCUUGCUCACCAGAAAAGUCCUCUGUGAAGCUGCUUCAGCCAUAAAUGUGCAUCUGUGAGCGUUCAGAGGGAAAGGAGAGUACACGAGAUUAAUUAGAGGGCCUUCUUGGUAGUGGCACCCACCCUGUGGAACACCCUCCCAUCAGAUGUCAAGGAGAUGAGUAACUACAUAACCUUUAGAAGACAUCCGAAGGCAGCCCUGUAUAGUGUAAUGUUUUACAGUGGUACCUCGGGUUACAGAUGCUUCAGGUUACAGACUCCGCUAACCCAGAAAUAGUACCUCGGGUUAAGAACUUUGCUUCAGGAUGAGAACAGAAAUUGUGCAGUGGCGGCGCAGUGGCAGCUGGAGGCCCCAUUAGCUAAAGUGGUGCUUUAGGUUAAGAACAGUUUCAGGUUAAGAACAACUCCAGAACAAAUUAAGUUAAGAACUCCAGAACAAAUUAAGUUCUUAACCCGAGGUACCACUGUAUUAUGUUUUUAUAUGUGUUGGAAGCCGCCCAGAAUAGCUGGGCAAAUGAAUGACAUUAAUUGCAUUUGUGCUGGGACUGAGGCUAAGCCCUCCUGCCUACCCCCUGUGGUGGCAGGUGUCAUUCGAGACUGGUGAGGUAGAAUGCAGGGAGGACCAACAGUAGGUGGCGCCAGAGCCCAGCCUAUGGGCUUCCUGAACAAUCUGAUUGUCCGGUGUGAGAACAGGAUGCUGAAAUAGAUGGACCACUGCUUUGAUCUAACAGGGUUCUUCUUAUGUUCUUCAGUAUGCUUGAAAAUUUGUCCCUUCCAAGAGCUACAAUACCCAGAGUGGUUAAACAAUCAACCCCUCUCUUCCCAGUUUAUAAAGCACAUCAAUUGCCUCCAUGCAAUUAUCAUUGCGUGUAGCUUGGCAUGAAACAUGGCUUCUUGAAGGUAUGCCAAUCCUGGAAUGAUCAAUUGUUCUUGCAGGUCUGUUUGCAUACGAUGUUUUGAAUGUGAAUAUGACAAGCAAUAUGUGAAUCAUUUACAGCUAUAGUCGUCGGGGAGGCAUAAUUGGCUGAGGUUUUCUCAGUGCCAGAUUUGCUCAUGAGUAAUGUAUGAAGGGGCCUCUACUUGGCAAGAAUAUUGGCUGCAUCUGAUGGAUAGCUUCGAUGCUUUUCUGGAAUUCAGAUUGUAUCAGAGAUACAGAGUUGAAGAGGAAAGAGUCUUGUGGUUCAUCCACAUGCUGCACGAACUCCGCCCAGCCCUGUUCCUACUGCGCAGAGUUGUCUGGUGUGACAUUUUUAGCUCUGCGCAUUCGCCGCUUUGCAAGAGGCCUCUCCUGAUCCUGGAGGCAGGAUUUGAGAAUCUGGGGGAACUUCUGUGUGAAGCAGAACCACGUGGGGCAUGUGUGGACAGUGGGGGCAGGACUGGAGAGAAGUUAUGUCCCAUGGUGGUGGGGCAAUAAACAUGGCCCCACAGCCCUUCUCAAGUCACUUCUCCUCUUUACAUGAGUUGUAUGAUGAGGGCUAAUGAGUUGGCUCUAAUACUACGUAAGUUACAAAAAUGGAAAGGAAGGGUAGAGGGUGGUGUAUUUUAUUAAUCCAGUUUUUUCCAAGGGCCUCACAAAGCAAUCCUACACACAUCUAAUCAGAAAUAAGCCCUAUUGAGUUCAUAACAGAUUGCUGGUUCAAUUACUUGAGUCCCCCGCAGUCUUCUGAACUGUUUUCACGAUUUUUUUUAAAAACUGCUUUAAUUGUCAUGCUUUUGAACAGUUCUAUUGUAUAUUUUAAUGUAGGAUGUUUAUAGUCCGAUGGAAUUGUUAUUGUGUAUCUUAACUCACAGUGUGGAUUUAUAAUUGAUUUUACAGUUGUAAGCCGCUGAAAAGCCAUCUUGGCAUAUAACCACUGUAUAGGUUUGAUAGUGACAGCAGCAGCAACAACAACAAAGAAAUAAAAACAGCAACAGUAAGAAAACAACAACACAAAAGCUGCUUACUUGUACAGUGGUACCUCGGGUUACAUACGCUUCAGGUUACAUACGCUUCAGGUUACAGACUCCGCUAACCCAGAAAUAGUAGCUCGGGUUAAGAACUUUGCUUCAGGAUGAGAACAGAAAUCGUGCUCCAGCGGCGUGGCGGUAGCAGGAGGCCCCAUUAGCUAAAGUGGUGCUUCAGGUUAAGAACAGUUUCAGGUUAAGAACAGACCUCUGGAACGAAUUAAAUACUUAACCCGAGGUACCACCGUAUUGCCAAAUUCUUCUUAAAUAGGCUUGUGAACCACAUGCUCAGUACAGUGCUACCUCUGGUUGCAAAUGGGAUCUGUUCUGGAGGUCCAGCCACAUCCUGAGGAAUUCACAACCAGAGGACUGUCCCUGUGCAUGUGCAUGCAGCAAAACCCGGAAAAAUACUUCCGGGUUUGCCGCGUUCGCAUCCCAAAAUUUACAUCCAAAAUUUACAUAAGCAGAGGUACGGCUGUACUUCGGUACUUCUUAGAUGGCAAGAUGGUAGUGGUGAGGUUUCUGCAUCUUGUCUUUCAGUCGGAACCAGACCCACAAGUCAACCUGCAAUAACAACACUAGAAAAUAAUAUUUCAAUACCACUGAUAAAGAGCUUUUUUAAAAAGAACAACUCUUGCCUUAUUUUUUAUUAUGCUUUGUUUUCUGCAUCCUUUUGUUUUUAUUUGUGAAAUUGAUAAGUCAUAUAUAUAUAUUUUCUUACAAAGGUAUUUCUGAAGGUUGACAGUUACAGAGAGUCAUCCCUAGAGUGAGGUUUAGAUGAGAGAGAUUAGAGGUUAUGUUUUUCUGCUAGUGUGUAGCAUUCAGAAAAGAAGAAAAAAACAGAACACAGCUGCUUAUAUUCAGAAUAUACAAUAACUUCACUGUAUUGUUUCCAGCACCUCAAAAACUUUUUUGUUUAGGCAAUCCUACCCAGACAUAUAAUUUUAACCCAAGAUUUUUAAGUAUAAUUUUAUUGUGUAUAUUUGUUUUAAACUAGCUUAUUUUGUUUGUCUUUUAAUAAAUGUUAUAUUAAUUCAUUUUAAAAAUGUUUCAUAUUACCAGUAAUUUUAAAUGAAUGUUAUAUAUUGUUAAAUGUAACACACUUUUUUGCUAUUUAAGUGGUAUAUGCAGUGCUUUUUUCUGGGGGUAUGCAGGGGUACACAUACGCCUAAAAUUUUUGUGAAUAUCUGUCCAUUUACUGUAUUUAUAAAAUGGUGAUUCUCUUGAGUAAAAAUGACUACCCCUAAACAUUUUUUUAGUAAAAAAAAGCACUGGGUAUAUGAAUCUUGUCAAGCAAGCAAACAAAUAUUUCGGUAGAACUGAACUCCACUUUCUUCAAAUUCUAGCUAAUUCCAAGGCUGUGGGACUGAUUAAAGGUAAAGGUAAAGGUACCCCUGCCCGUACGGGCCAGUCGUGUCCGACUCUAGGGCUGUGCGCCCAUCUCACUUAAGAGGCCGGGGGCCAGUGCUGUCUGGAGACGCUUCCGGGUCACGUGGCCAGCGUGACAAGCUGCAUCUGGCGAGCCAGCGCAGCACACGGAACGCUGUUUACCUUCCCGCCGGAGCGGUCCCUAUUUAUCUACUUGCACCCGGGGGUGCUUUCGAACUGCUAGGUUGGCAGGUGCUGGGACCGAGCAACGGGAGCGCACCCCGCCGCGGGGAUUCGAACCGCCGACCUGACAAUUGGCAAGUCCUAGGCGCUGAGGUUUUACCCACAGCGCCACCCGCGUGGGACUGAUUACUUUUGAUAAAACCAGGCGGUUUUUUGUGUGCAUUUAUUCCACAAAAUGAAAAAUCUGUAUUUCAUAUUUUGCAGGCUGCUUAUGAAACAAUUAAUACCAUGACCGUUUGUACACUGUUUUUCAUUCUGUUGGUUCCCUCAUUCUGAUUUUGUUUUGCCUAUGGAUGGGGUGAGCAUUCAAAGAACUCCCUGCUUAAAUUACAGUGAACAGAUCAAGGUCAGCCGAAGGAUGAGUAAUUCUGCCUUUUUUUGGUUUCUCUCAGUUUCCCCUUUUUCCAAACUUCGGUUCAGUUCUCCACACCCCCACAGCAGUUUUCAUUAUUUUUCUUUUUAAAAAGCCCCCAUGAAACUUCAUCCACAGUUUUCAAAUAGCUCGGCCCUAAGUCGUGUAGGGCUUUAUAGAUCUUAAUCAGCACUCUGAAUUGUGAGCAGAAACAAACUUGUAGCCAGUACAGCUGUUCUAAUAAGGGAGUUAGUUGUUUGCUCCCUAUAACCAGUCCUGGUGAGCAAGUGGGCUGCAUCUCUUUGAACCAGAUGAAGUUUCUGAGCACUUUUCAAAGGCAGCCCCACAGAGAGCAACGUUGGGCCUGAGAUGUACAUGAUACACAGUUGCUGUUCAGCACAAGUAAUAGCAAAGAUGCAAAGAUGCUUUUCUCGUCUCUUAAUGAUUUCUGUUCGGAAACUGCAUAUCAUGCAUUAAGCCAUUUUGCCUGGAGUUGAAGCUUUGUUUUGAAUUCUCUCCAGUGAAAUAUUUGCCACUGGCAAUCGCUUUAAUACAAUAUUAGCAUAGCCAACUCUUCCCAUGUGGCAUGUUUCAGCGUAUAAUAUUAAUUCGCCAGUUGGUAAUGCACUAGUUUUAGCAAUCUCCUGUGAUCUCCUUAAUUACAGAGCAGUCGGCAAUCAUCACUCAUCAUCUUUAUCACUUUAUGAGUUUUAUUUGUAUGUUUGGCCAUCCAUCCGUCAUAACAUUGGUUUGAAAAUGUGGGAGAGGGGGGUGAGAACAUUUUUUAAAUUUUAUUUUUACUCGAGUAUAACAGUCAUAUUCUACAUAUACCAGCAAAGAAAACAUUCCUAUUUAUUGUAUUCAGUUUUGACAUUACAAACCAUUCAUCCAUCAAAUUCCUCAGAUGUAUUCGCACACCAAAACAAUCACCUCGAAUGUAUUCAUUAUGUCUGAACCAGUUUCAAUGAACACAGUGCCUUAUAAUUCUUAUAAGAAAAUAAAAGGAGCCCUGCCUGCUAGACAAAACCGCUAUGUUCUCCGUCCACUGUUGGAAUUGGAUUGCUUCUGGGAAACACAAAGGGGGAGAAAGCUGUCACACUCAGGACCUGCUUAUAGGCUUCCCAUGAACACCUGGUUUACCACUGUGAGAAUGGACUACAUGGACCACGGCCCUGAGUCAGCAAGGCUCUUCUACCAUUCUUAAGCAAAUACACAGCUGGCAUUUUUGCAUACUGUGCUUCCUGUUUAAUAUUAUCACACCCCCUUCACACAAGGGUCAACAGUGUGUUGAGGACCUAGUACAUGUUUGCCGUCCCCACGCCCAACAUCUCCCACCCCACACUAGGCAUGCCCCCUCCACCCCACAGCAUUUGAAAGGUCUUAAGGGGCCUCCUAGGGACGAGGGUGGUGCUGUGGGUUAAACCAGAGAGCCUAGGAGUUGCCAAUCAUAAGGUCGGCAGUUCAAAUACCUGCAAUGGGGUGAGCUCCCAUUGCUCGGUCUCUGAUCCUGCCAACCUAGCAGUUCAAAAGCACAUCAAAGUGCAAGUAGAUAAAGGUAGAUAAAGGCAGGAAGGUAAACAGAUUUCCAUGCGCUGCUCUGGUUCGCCAGAAGCGGCUUAGUCAUGCUGGCCACAUGACCCAGAAGCUGCCCGCCGGCUCCUUCAGCCAAUAAAGCGAGAUGAGCACCGCAACUCCAGAGUCGGCCACAACUGGACCUAAUGGUCAGGGGUCCCUUUAUCUUUACCUUAAGGGGCCUCCUAACUACUGUUAGCUAAAUGCCGUUAGAAGCCUUGCAGAGAACAGGAAGCCUGAUAAAACAGGAUUCCUGAUCAUGUGGAGGCUUCUAACUGCACAGUUAGAACCCUGUUUCAGUCGUUUAGCAACAAAGGAAGCUUCUUUAUAGUGAGUCGUAUCACUGGUCCAUCUUCUUGCAGAUAUUAAUACUGUGCAGAUUGAAGUGACUGGAUGUAUAAAAAUUGACUCCUUUUGGAAUAAAGCAUUGUCCAGACUCAUAAGCUUGAUUCAAGUUUAACUUGCAGAAUUUUCUUCAAAACAGAAUAAAACAUCAAAUAUACAUCCAAAUAAUUCCAUACAAUAUAUUGUGCAUGUCCAGCUGAGGCUCAGCAUCUUAUAGGAAAUAAAAGAUAAUUCCAAACAGACCUAGAAGCAAACGUCUCUCUUUCUACAACCUCCAUUUUGCCUGGAGUUGUAUUCAUUCUCUGGAGAGGGUCGUUUACACAUCCCACAGAGCCUGUGAACAAAAGAACUAAAGGCAACUCCCUUUCAAAAUAGUGAUUUGCAGUUCAAGACCUUAAUCACCUGAUUUAAGGUUAAACACUACGGUCAGAGCUAGCAGAGAUCAAUAACUAAUUAUCAACUUAUCUAAGUGCUUAGAGAGAGCUCUUCUUGAGCUUCAAUGGAAUCUUCCAGGUAAAUCCUUGCAACAAUACACACACAGGCAUUCUCAAUUUCAGUGUGAAUUAAACAAUUAUGCUUCACACAUAUACCCCAAUAUUGUCAGCACUGACUGGCAGUGGUUGUCCAGAAUUUCUAAUGGGGACAUUCCCGGUCCUACUUAGAGAUGCUGGUGACUUGGGACAUUCUAUAUGCAAAGCAGAUGUUCUUUGAGGAAGCUACAGUCCUCCUAUGUUUGCACUAAACACAUGAAGAGUUGGGUGGAGGGGUGAACCCAGCAUGCAGUGGACAUAGGGGUGUGCCUCUCCAGAAGCACUAAGCCCUUGAGUGAUCAGGCUGAAGGCCUGAAGAGUGCUGUUUGGUCUAUUAUAUUCAGCCCAUGUUCCCUCUACGAGCGUUCUUGUUGCAGUUUUCUGUUUAGUUAUUACCUGUCUUAGGAUGUGAUAUCAAGCCAGCUUGUAGGGAUGCAGAGCUGUCAGUAUAAGAUUAUUCCAAUGUACAGUCCCUGAAAAAAUAAAUGGCAAGAGCUGUAAACUGAAGAAAAUUGUGAUUUUAUCAUGCCUCCAGUACCCAUUAAGCUCAACAGUUUCAGCCAUUUGAAAACCUUAUGUGUCGUUUCUGUAGCAUGUAAGUGUUUUAUUACCCAUAAUAAAAACCCACCAUUUAAAAGUGAUCACUGUUAUACCCAUUCCAACAUGGCUAAAUCAACAUUUCAGAUAAAUUUGCUUGUCUAUUUUAAGCUGCCAGUUCCUAAUAAGACUACAUAGCUUAUGGGUUCUCCUCAUGGACAUUUGUUGUCAUUCCUUUCUUUUAGAAUGGGAUCAGAGCAGCUGACCAAUGCUGAAAACAAUAAUCUAAAAUAUGAAUCGAGAGCCGUCAUUGUUUUAAAAGUGGCAGCAAAAAUGCAACCCCAAAAGCAGUGGCUCAUGGAAAUAUAGAGCCAUUUUUGCUGCUUAACUAAAACUGACAAAUGGUGGAGACACAUUGUGCCCAUCUAGGGAGGUUGUGUCAAUUUCUAGGGGCCACAACCAAAAAGGUCCUAUAUCUGGUUCUAUAGCGCAUAUCAUCUGCAUCUGGAAACAAAUUAUUUGUCCCAAAUUAGAGUCUCCCAAGAAGAGCAUACUGAGUUCAGCAUUAGCAAAGAAUGCACCACUCCAAAAGUUGGAAACUUUGCUGCACAUAGAGGAAAAUCUGUGCAGAACAUUUCCUUAAACUAGAGGGAGUAGAUCAGCCCCACCUCUUACAGACUUCCAAGUACGUAUAUGCCAAGAUGGAUUCAGCAUUGUCAAACUGCAGCAAGGAUAAAGCAAAAGGAAGAAAUAUCCUAAUAUGCCUCUGUUAGCACAGUUCCUUCCUCCAAUCAGUGAUGGAGUUGUGCAUUGCUAUGUCAGGAGAGCAAAUUCUGUUUGAUAUGAGUCACUUUCCCUCAUGACAUGUGCAGCCUGCUGCUUCCCACACUGUCAGAUUCAUGGCACGGAUUUGAUGCCAAGUCUUUUAAGGACAUUUGAUGAGCAAAUAUGUCUCGCUGCAGGAAAGCAUUUCAAACCUGCCAUGUUUAUAAUCACUAAUGAGUAUUUCACUGACUUCAAAAGUUAGGGCUGUAAUAUUGCCCAGGAGUUAAUUCCUUACUUAUUCAAAGCCCAGUCAUUAAUAUUUUAUUGAAUGAUUGAUUGAAUUUACAUACCGCCCUAUACCCAGACACCCCCAACUUUCCGUAUCAUAAGAGUUAACAACAGCAUUUUAUUACAAAGAUACAAGUAUUCUGUGUAGAUCAUAUUUAAACAGAAGUCAUUAUGUAUUAUGCUAACUUAUGAACUUACCUAUUACUGAUAUUUUAUGUGUUCUAUUAAUCUGUUCAUAAUGAAUUAUUCCACUGGUUGCAUAUAAAAUACAACAAAAGUGAAAUUUAUUUGUCCUGUGUCAAUUGGACUCCACUGCUUCGGCAUGCUCUGGGCAGUGUCUUUUCCAUCCUGUUGGGACUAUUGGUUGCUCUCUGAUAUUUCUCUAAUAAAUUAUCUUUCCUCAAAAGCACAGCUCCUAGUCAAGAGAACUUACUCUGAAAUCUGACAUAGGUCUUUCUGGAAGUAAAAACCACUUAAUGCCAAGUAAAUGUGUACAGGUGUGUGGAUAAUGUCAUUAUAUGAUUUAGUCCCUAUAUGGCAGUAGACUUAAGUUUUUAGAUGGGCUUUCUGCUCAUGUGUCAAUCUGUCAGGAGUCCAGAUUCCCAGCUUGAUAACACAGUAAGUGUGGGUAAUUAAAAAGGAGGAUUUAUUGCAAAAACAGAUACCUCCGGACAGCUCUAAUGCAGCCGCUGGCAUUAUCACUCAAGAUGUCCCUUCUGAAGACUGCUUCCUGUGUCUACAGAAUAUAUUGAACUUUCGCACCUUACGUCUCUUGUUUUGCUUCCUGUCUUGCAACCCACCCAUUUGCUGACUCCGAGGACUUAUUGGAUCAUCUCCCUUCUCUUCCUUUUCCGAGAGACUCUCUCUAUUUGAGCUUCCGGAGAGCUUUGACUAUGUUCUAGCCUGCUCUCAGCUAUGGCCUUAUCAGCAUGCCUGUAAAGGUCAGGAAGAGCUGAAUUCUGCAGCUGCCAGCUCUCCCCUGCCUGCCUGACAUCAAAACCUCUCUGUUCCUGGCUGCUUUAUGCAGUUGGCUGCAAACAUCCACUAGGAGCUGGCUCAUUCCUGACACAAUCCUACAUGAGAGCAAGGUGAGCUGUGAUGAGCAUACUAAGCUCCCCUCCCCAUCUCACGGAGUCCGUCACCCGGCGAGUUGCGAUGGGUGAAGUGCAAAGCAGAGAGCUCCCUCUACUCACAGAGUCUCUCAUACCAUUUUGAAUCCUGACUUUACAGGCUUCUAAAUCACGCGAGGGACCUCCACAAGUAAACAAGGCUCUCUGCUUAAGACUUCACCCUCCAAGAGUUGGCGGGCAAGGAGGAUAGUGGCAUGGGGGAAUGUUUGUGCACUCAUCCCCUCUCACUUGUACACAUGAGCAGAAUGCUAAAAAAUUAGGGCUUUAGCUGCAUCUAGAUGGAGCCAAGAGAUUCCUACUACUGAUCUAUUAUUCAUGCAGCAAUGCCAUCCAAUUCUUAUCCAGCUUACUGAGCGAUGAGUUCUCUACAUCAGCCAGGUACAUAAUCUCCCCUCCCGCUUAUGGGUCAUUUUAAAGACCACGCCCUCUGGCUUUCUGCUCAAGUUCAUGCCCUGCAAUGUUUGCUGCCGCUGAAGAAGAAGACACAGUAAAAAUGUGUCUGGCUUACAUAUCCAAUUUCAAUUCAAAACUUUAUUGUGGUCCAAAGACCCACAAAACAAUUUCAAAAAUAGAUACAGAUACAGAUACAGAAAAUAGACAGAUGGAAGAAACCAAGGCAGUCCUUUUGUUUUAUCUAGGGCAUAAUGAUCUUUGUUUCUUAUAACCUCCGAAAGAAACUUUGCCACCGCCAGUGUAAUAUCAUUUGACCAGUCUUCCAAAAGAUAUUUAAUAUGGGAGGCUUUGGAUUUUCCCGGAAAAUUUGCCUGUAAAGAUUUGAUCAGUUUAUCCUUUGCUUGAUCAUAUUGCCCACAAUGCAGUAGGAUAGGCUUUAUACAAUCGGCGUCCUGGGAACAUAAACAAAGCCUAUUCUGACAGGGGAUGCCUCUCAGUCUGCCAGUUAGAACUUCUGAGGGAAAUACAUUUUGCAGUUGUUUAAGACAAUUGUCUUCUAAAACCAGGCUUACAUAUUGGUUUUAGAAGACAAUUGUCUGAAACAACUGCAAAAUUCUAGGCAAAUAUCACAAAGAUGUGACAUGAGCCCAGCUUAGAUCGAGAAAGAAGAAGAAGAAGAAGAAGAAGAAGAAGAAGAAGAAGAAGAAGAAGAGUUUGGAUUUGAUAUCCCGCCUUUCACUCCCCUUCAGGAGUCUCAAAGCGGCUAACAAUCUCCUUUUCCCUUCCUCCCCCACAACAAACACUCUGUGAGGUGAGUGGGGCUGAGAGACUUCAAAGAAGUGUGACUGGCCCAAGGUCACCCAGCAGCUGCAUGUGGAGGAGCGGAGACACGAACCCGGUUCCCCAGAUUACGAG
RNAcentral lists this long non-coding RNA (59932 nucleotides) under Podarcis lilfordi (Lilford's wall lizard). Lineage: Eukaryota; Metazoa; Chordata; Lepidosauria; Squamata; Lacertidae. The record is from RNAcentral.